Molecule: long non-coding RNA, 56635 nt
Filed under: Vitis vinifera (wine grape)
Lineage: Eukaryota; Viridiplantae; Streptophyta; Magnoliopsida; Vitales; Vitaceae
Description: long non-coding RNA (VVIN_LNC000257)
Source: RNAcentral
AAAAAAAAAAAAGUUAAACAGGGUGGGGUGGGGUGAGUAUGAGAAUUUAUCAUACUCGCCCUGUCCUAUCUCGUUUAAUUUUUUAAAUGGGACGAGGAUGGGAGUUGUUUCGAAUAAACGAGACGGGGUUGGGAUGGGGGUGACCCACCCCGAACCCACCCUAUUGUCAUUCCUAUUCUUGACCCUAAUGCUUCCAAUUUAUGAAGCCAUGGAUGGAGGCAAUUUUCAAUAGACGUAUGUAUGGGAAUAAUAUUUUCACAAAUGUUAAACAUCAAUUUUCUUUUUGUUUUUCUUUUUUUUAAUAAGAUAUAAAUAAGUUUUCAAAGUAAAAUGUUAAUGAAUAUUAAAAUCAUUUUUUGGUUGACUAUAAAUAGAACUUAUAAAUAAAUCUUAAAUGGGUUAAAAAUAUAAGACAAAGUUAUUAUUUAAAUUGUUCAAAUUUUGAAAGUUAAAUUUAAGUAGUAAUAAUAAAAUCUUUACCCAAAGAUUUGCCUAAAGAUUUGUUCAUUUUAAUUAUCUUGUCAAGUAUCAUUAAAAUUAGUUUACUAAAGUUUUCAAGAUUGGAAUAUUAAUAAAGAGAAAAAAAAUAUGUGUAUAUAUAUAUAUAUAAGAAAAGAAAAAGAAUAAAAAAAAUUAUAAAUUUCUUUUUUUAAAAAAAACUUGACCAUCCAUAUUAAAAAAAAAUGGGGAGGGAAAAUUGAAUUAUUAUAAAAAUGUACUUUCCUCAAACUUUGAUUUUAAUUUUUUUUUUUAAGGUUUUUUUCUCAUAUUUUCCUUUGGAUAUUCAAAUAUAAGAAAAUAUAAUUUUCUUUUAUUGGACUCCAAUAAAGAGUAUGUAUCCAAUGCAUGAAAAUAAAUUUUAUUCAAAAGAGUUUUAUUAAAAAGUAAAUGUAAUUGCUAAAAGUGUUUGAUCAAAAUUCUUCAAAUAACUUUAUUUUUCUUUCAACAUGAAUUAUAAUUUUCAACAUUUUCUAAAAAGUUUGAAUGUUUAUAUUUCUUUCUCAAACAAAUUGGUAAAAUUUAUUCAACAUUUUUUUAAAAUAUUUGAACUAUCAUGACUUCUAAUAUAAGUGUGGCUUAAAUAUGAUUUUAAAGGGAAUAAAAUUAUACCUAUACCCUAUAUUAUAUAUAAAAUGUGGGUGCUUGUAAAAUAUUUUUUUGGUUUAAAACAAUCCCACUAAAAAAAAAAUGCUUCUUUUGUAUUAAAAUCAGUUCAUUAUAGUUUUCAAGAUUGGAAUAUCAAUAAAGAAAAAGAAAUCUAACAAGAGAAAAAGAUAGAGGAAAAACUAUAAAUUUUCUUUUCUAUGAAAUUUGACUGAAAACUUAGGGGAAAUAAAUAAAUAAAUUAUUAUAAAAAUGUAUUUUUCUCAAUCUUUUGUUUCCCAUUUUUUCUUUUUUCUUUUUUCGAGGUUUUUUCUCUCCUAUGAUAUUCAAACAUAAGAAAAUAUAUCAUUUAUUUUUAUUAAUCACUGAGAGUAUGAGUUAAGAAAAAAGUGAAAAACUAUCCUAAUAAGUUCUUUUCUAUGUUUCGUACCCAAGUUGUAAGGCAAGCAAACAUGGACGCCUAAAAUAAAAUUUUCAAAGCAAAAACACAUGCUCAAAAUCUUCAUCAAAUACUCUAUUUAGAUGCUUAAAAAAAAUUAAAAUAAAGCAACGAAGCAAACUAAGGUGGUGUUUGGUUUUUACUUAAUUCUAAAUAAAACUUUAAUGUUUAAUAGUGUUAAAUAUCAGGUUGUUUGUUUUUGUAAUAUUUUAUUUCUAUUAAAUAUUAAAAUAUAAGGAAAAAUCAAUAUGUUUUUUUUUUAUAAAAAUAUAAAUAUUUUGGUUUUCUCUAUUCAUUAAAAAGUUUAUAAUAAGUUAUGAAAAAUAAAAAAAAAAUAAACUACCUAAAGUCUAAGAACAAAUUACUUUCAAUAAAAAGUUAAAAAAAAACAAACACUUCUAAUCCAACAUCCUCGUGAAUCUCUUGAUAAAUGUUAACAAGACACAAUUUAGAAUCAUAAACGACUUGUGAAGAAAGUUAAUAAAUAAAUAAAUAAGGAAAAAAAACCGAUAUUAAUGAUAUUAGGUUUUCGCUUAUGAUCUUUGUGGGUGUUGAUUUCCUAAUCAACCACGAAACAAAAUUUAUUUUACGGCAAUAAAUAAUAAAUAAUAAUAAUAAAUUCAAAUCAUUCUCCUACUUUCCAUCUACAUUCUUAUCAAUCAAUUAGAGGAGUAAAAGAAAAGCAAAGGGAAAAAAUUUAUCUAUUUUGGCUACCUGGACGUGUUUCUUCUCUAUUUUUCGUCUAUUGGCUUUACUUUGGCUUUUGAUUUAAUCUUGCAUAUAGAAGGGGAAGUCAAGAAUGCUAGUUAGAAUGAUGGUGGUAGGAUUGGCAACGGGGUGGGUUUGGGCGGGGCCACCCUACCCCAUUCCCGUCCCAAUUAUAUAAAUCUGUUUCUCAUCUCCGUCCCAUACCUGGGGUGGGGUGGGGCAGGUUAAUGGGAUCCCAUCCCCGUUUCUCUCGAGGCGGGGUGGGGUCAGGUGCUGGCCCAUGCUGCCGGGACCAUCAACAGCAUCUUCCAAUUCCGCAAGACAAUUCCCACUCAACACCUGCGCAAAGCAGUUCAAACGCCCGUUCAUCAUCACCUGGUAGUGCCCAGAAUCGUGCCCAAUCCACCCACUCUGAAUCCAAAAAAGGCCCAUCAACGCACCACUGGCAAGAUGAACCCAUGUGUUGUCACACCCCAGAACCCCAUAAAUACAGGCGGAGAACAUCACCGCCAUCGCACAGAGUGUGACGAACACCCCAUGCCCCUUUUUCUCAAACAACCCCAUCUUCAAAAACUCAUACACCAACCUCCUAUAAUCCUUCGACACCUCCGAAACAAUGUAAUCCUUGAGAUGAAACCCAAUAAAGAAAUCGUCCAAACGGCUCCACAAAACCCCGGGAUGGUAGGCCACAAAAGCAUCAGUAGCAUCCUGGCCGGCAAGACUCAGCAAUGGAGCAGACCCACCUAGGUGCUCUUUCGCCUAAUCAGACACAUUAUAGAUCUUUCCCUGUAUAGAGAUCCAUAGAUCCCCAACCCUGCUGUGGGUCUUGAGCUCUUCCUUUGAAAUGUACCUCUUUGUCGCUGCCAUUUCAGAGAGAGAUCUGGGAACAAUGUCUCUCUCUCUUCUAUUUCUCUCCUUUGUUGGUAAUUAUAAUUUCAGGGUGGGGUGGGAUGGGGCAGGGUGGGGCAGGUAACUACAAACCCAUACCCGCCCCGAACUCGAUUCAGGUUUCACAAAACUAUCUGAUACCCGUCCCAUACCCGAUUAAUUUAUUUCAUACCCAUCCCAAUAAGGGCAGGGCGGGGCAGGUGACCCUCUUGACCCGUGAAAUUACCAUUCCUAGAUGGCGGGACGUCGAAAAGGCCGUGCAAAAUAAUGACUAUCGUAGCGGGAAUCAACCUACUUAAACUGAAAUGAUUUUAUCGGAAUAAUGUACAUUGCAAGGAUUUGGUGAAUACAAAAAUGAAAUAAAUCUUUUUUACAAUGUUUUUCAAAAUCGAAGAGGUGCUUAAAUCAAAAAAAUUAUUGGUUCACGAUUCAUUGGUCAAAUCAGUGGUCAAACCACUGAUACGUUAUAAAUAAUAAUUUUUAUAUUAUAUAAAAUUUUAAAUAAUUAUAAAAAAAUUAAAAUUAUUUAUAAUUAAAACUUUAAUAAUAUAUCAUUUUUAUAUUUGACAUAUCAAAUUAAAUAAUGAAGAGAAAUAUAAAUAUAUUAAUAUUUUAAAUUUUAUUAAAUCGAACAUAUAUAAUAUUUAAAUAUAAAGAUAUAUUUAAAAUGAAAAAAAAUCUAAUAUUUAAUUUUAUUCCCAUGUCUUUUAUAUUUUAUUAUUUUGAAAUUAUUAUAUUAAUUAAUUUAUAUUAUUUUUAUAAUUACAUUAUAUAAUUACUAUAAAAAUAAACAUGAAAGGGUUUUAUACAAGAAAAAAUUGAAAAAAUAUUAAUUUUGUUAUAUAAUUUUAUUUGCAAAUAUAAUAUAAUGAAGAAACUUCAUAGGUUAGUGGUUAAACUUCAAUUUUUACACCUAAAAGUCCUAACUCAAGCUCUUCAACUUGCAAAAAAAAUUUAUUCUCACUAACUAAUCCCACAUCGAAAAUGGAUAAAAAAAUAUGUAGGGAUUGUGAGGUAUAAAAGGCAUGCAAUAAUCAUUAAUUUGCAAGACUAAAGUUUAUUGGGUUUGAUGACAAGUGGGUUGGAUGGGCUCCUCAUGGAGUGAUACGGUUCCCUUAAGAAAAUAUUUUUUUGUCUUAAAAAAAAAAAAAAACCUUUUAUACUGAGUAAAACGACAUCGUUUUGGUAAGGUUAAAAAAGAAAUUAAAUAGUUGGACUAGUUGAUUCAUCCGAUUUGUUGAUCGGACCGUCGAUUCAUCCGAUCCAAUCUUAAUUCAACCUUCUAUCAACUCAAUUAACUGGACCAAACCGAAAUCGUGACCAUUCGGCAAUCGGAUUGGUCGAACCAGUCGGUCCAAUCCAAUUUUUAAAACCAUGCUUUUUUUAGUGGGAUUGUUUAAUAUAAACAAAAAAGGUUUUAUAAUUUAUGAUAGGAGAGAAUGAAUAUAUGGUAAGAGAGAAUGGACCAACUUAAAUUAAAAUUAUAAUAGGGGGGAAUUAACUAUUGUGAACUAAAAAAGUUUCAUCAUAACAUAUGUUGUAGAUGUUUAGUGGAUAAAAAAGAAAAUGAUAAUAAAAAUUCAAAUCAUAAAUAGAUAGAUUUAUUUAUAUCUGUAAGACCUUAGAUGCUACUAAUUCUCCUAAAAACAAUUGUUGUUAGUAAAGACGCAUACCCUAACCUUAUAGUGUAUUUACCCAAGCUCCCACGACGAACACAAAGGGAGUUGAUGAAUGAGACCAACCCUCUGAUCUGCCAACAAUCCCACCUCCCCUCCCCAGUGACACCCCUAGAGUUCAAACUCAUGACUUCGGCUCUGAUACCACUUGUAGAACCUCAAAUGCCAUCAACUCUCCUAAAAACAAUUGUUGUUAGAAAAGACGCAUACCCUAACUUUAUAAUACAUUCACCCAAGUAUCCACGACAUACACAAGGGGAGUUUGAUGGAUGCGACCAACCCUUUGAUCUGCCAACAAUAUCCUUUUUUUGAUUAUAUACAUUCGUUCAUAUAUUUUAAUUCCAUUAUUAUUAGUAUUAUUAUUAUUAUUAUUAUUAAUGUUGUUGUUGUUGUUGGAAAACUUGUACUUUGGGCCUCCCAUUUGUAAAUAAUAUAGUUUUCAAAUCCAAAAAAUAUGAAAUAUUAGAAUCAGUCGUUAAUGUGCUAAAUAAUAUGGGUUUUGUGCACUUUGUCCUAACUCAUUUUUAUAUGCCCAGAUUGCCCUCACCCAUUUCCAUGUCAAUAGCCACAUUAACUAAUAGUUUCAAAAAAAAAAAAAAAAAACAAAUAAUUAUUCAGUUUGAAAUUUGGGUUACACACUUAACCUGGAACCAUAUCAAAUUUCCCAAAUCUAAAACUUCUUCAUCUCAAAGUUGUCGAACAUUUCUCUCCUCACUAUCUCUCAUUUUAGAAAGCAAACCUUAAUCCUAAAUUGCAAUCUACAUUUUUUUUUUCUCCACUUUCUCAAUAACCAAAUAUGCAUUUCAUCAUAAGAACAUCCAAUUAAAAGAAGGCUUGAAGAGGUGUAGCUGUGACUCUAAUUUUGUUAUAGCAGAGCAGACUUGAACGAAAAAGUGAACUUUGAAAUAUUGGCUUCCUGAAUAAGAUAUUUCUUUUUCCUCUCAUUCAGUUGCAUUUUGCCCUAAACCCAACCCAAAAUUUGAAGGUAAUUAAUUUUUAUUAAGUGCUCUUUAGCUCAUUUGUUUCAAAUGGAGCACGUAAGCUAUUCUGGAGUCGUUCUUGGACUCCAACUUUUGUCUACAACCAUGAGGUGAUAGCUUUACGUGUAGGUGGAUCUUCAACUGCAUGAUUGUCGAUUUGAUACCAAUCUUUUUCUAGAUCGAAGACUCAUGAAAUGAAAAAUUAAAGUGGUAGUUUCUUUUUGAUGGUCGAAAGAAUGUUCUAGAGAUAUCUAGAAAUUGGAUGGAAGUCCUUGAGUUUUGUAGACUUUUUUAAAGUCCAAAGCCUAUGGUGUGGAUGGUUGUUUGAUGACUAUAAUUAGGCAAGAUCGUCUUUUGACCAAAUACUUCAUAAUUCAAUCAUAUUUAUUCACUGAAAAUAAUAAAUAAAAAAUAAGAAUUAAAUUGCAUAAAUUUUUUGCUGGUUAGCAAAAAUUCUAGGUAGUGUGUGAAUUUCUAAAGUUUGUUGGACUAUGUAGGUUAAUAUUUUGCAAAGCAUCUGUGAUUUCAUUGUUUGUCUUUAGUAGAAAUGGUUUCAUUGUUUGUCUCCAAUGGAAACUCUUUCCUAUAGUCUUUUGAAACUUCUUUGUAAAGGACGUUUGAAAGCUUGAAUUUUAGUGAUGAUAUCAAAUAAAACCGUUAUAAUCUCCUUUUAGCAAUAUUAAAAAAAUAAAAUUGAUUAUGAUCAUUUGUAAGCUUGAAUUUGAGUGAUUAUAUAAGAUAAAUCGACCUAACCAUUAUGAAUACUCCCCUUUGCAAUAUUAAAAACAUUUUAUGUACAAAGGAAGUGUUUGCAAGUUGAUUUGAUGUUGAAAGGACAAGGGGUAAUGGAAGAUCCUGAGAUGAGAGGCGAGUAAACUAGGGGUUCCGAAUAGACUUUUAUGAUCUCAUCAACAUGAUCAAUUUUUGGUAAUGGGUGAUUGGGAGGAUCACUUCUCUAAUUUGGUGCAAAGCAUGGCUACAAUGUGGUUGAAAACCAUAGUACCAUUUGAAAAAAAAUAAAAUAAAAUAAUGCUCUUCUCAAAUUUAAAGACUUACAAAUAUAAUCUUAUCCUAAAAAUAGAACUCAAAAAAAUGAAUACUAAUUCUUGGGUUAACGACGCAUUUAUUAAUCCUCCAAAGAACAAUUCAAAUAUUGCAAUAAGAAUAAAAAAAAAAAAAUCAAGAAAUAAACUAAGGCAUGACCAACACUUCACAAAGUUGUCACUUAAUUUUCAUCCCAAAUAUGUAUUCAAGUUUCAUCUCUCAAAUGGUUAUUGCCAUCAUUUUAUCAAGUUUCAAAUCAAAGUCAAAAAACCGUCUAAAAAAAUGUCACGCUCCUUGAAAUUUUAUUAGCUCAAUUGAUACAUUCAAGUCUCUCAAGCAAAGACAAAGGAGAAAACAAUAACAACAUACACACAAUGAAUUUGGCAUUCAAAAUUAAGCAUGGACUAACUUAGUAAAACAAUAACAGUUAAAAAUGACCAAGCAUAGAAUCUCCCAUGUCCCUUUAUUUGCUAGUAGUAAUUGUCAUAUAUCCCAUUAAAAUUAAAUGAAAAAAUCCAUCAACUAGAAGUAAUACAGAUAAACCAAUUUCCCAAAAAAUCUUAUGAUAACACAAAUCGUGGAAAGGAAAUAAAAUUUUUCUACUUUAUUUAAAAAUACAAACAUAUAUUUAACCAAAACAAAUUUAUCCUCUGUUUCAUUCAUGCGAAAAUGAAGCCAAAUAUAAGAAACCCCAAAAUAAAAAGACCUUCGACCCCAAGAUUUUCUCAGUAGCCAAACAAAGUCUUAAAUGGAAAACUCACCUAUGAUUGAUUAAUCCAAAACAAAGGAAAACUCCAAUUUGAUUUCCAAAAACCUUAAAAAAUUUUCACCUUUGAUGAUAAAAGAAGAAGAUAUGGGUCUAGUUCAAUUUACUUGAACAUUUUAGGAAGAUGGGUAUCGAGUUUGAGUGAUCAGGUUGUGAAGAGAGAGACAGUGGGGUUAGGGAAAAAUGAAAGGAAGAAGGUUUUGGGAAGAUGGGUAUCUGGUUCAACUGGUUAGGACAUGAAGAGAUAGACAAAGAUGUCUGAAAAUCGGUUGUCUUUAGAUUUCAAAUGAGGUAGGAAAAUGAGAAAUUCUUUAGAUUUGGGAUUAUGACAAAAUGAGAGGUAGAAGUUUAGGGAAGAUGGGUCUCAGGUGUGGUAAGGAAGUGAGAGAGAGAGAGUUUCCCCAAAUUUGAGAUGAUUCUUGGGUUGCAUGUGUAAUCCAAAUUUUAGAUAUAAUAAUAAUAAUAAUAAUUAUUAUUAUUAUUAUUAUUUUUAUUUUUUUCAUGGAAACCAUCUAUUAAUGUGGCUAUUGACAUGAAAGUAGGUGAAGGUAAUCUAGGCACAUAAAAAUGAGUCAACACAAAGUGCACAAAACCCAUAUUAUUUUUCACAUUAACAACUAAUUCUCAUAUUCCAUAUUCUUGGAAUUUAAAAACCAUAUAUUAUUUGCAAAUGGGAGGCCCAAAAUACAAGUUUGCCUUUAUCGUUGUUGUUUAUUUAUUAUGUGUGUAUUAUAAAUAUGGAAAUAAAUAUAAUCAUUAACUAUAACUCUUAAAAAAAUGUAAAUAUUUAACGUCACAUUUAUUUUUAUAAUUAUAACUAUGAAAAGAAUAUAAACUAAUAAUGUAAUAGUUUUUAAAUUAUAAAAUAGUAGGAAAUAUAAUUUUUCAUAGGUACAUAAAAUAAAAUAAUAGAAUUUUCGUUUUGUCUUGAAGACAUCUUCAUAUUUAAAUACUGUACAUAUUUUAUUUAAUAAAAUUAAAUAUAUUAAUAUAUUUAUAGUUAUUCUUAUUAUGUUUAAAUUUGGUAGUAUGAAAGAUGAAAAAAUAUGAAAUACUAUAAAGUUUUAAACUAUUUAUUUAUAUUUUCAUAUUAAAAUUAAAAUUAUAUAUUUAUGAGGUCAUGUUGCUAUCACUCACUAUUCAACCAUCAUCAGCCCAACAAAUGAAUUGUAUCUAAUAACUUUUCUGGUUUAAUAACUUUUCCAAUUUUGUAAACAUUGUUAAAGCAUAAUUAUAUAAAGAUGUUUUAUUUCUUAUUUAAACAUACUAAAAAUUAAAUAGGUUGGACCUGAAAGCCCAAGGCGGCAGUCUAGACCCAGACCACCCAUGAUACCCAUAAGGCUGGGCUUGGGCUUCUUUCUUGAUGCAUAGGUUUAGAUCCUAAGGCCCAAGCAGUAGAAAUUAGGCCUGUGCCAUUGGACAGAGCCCCAUUUUUGGCAUGGGCCGCUGGAAUUACACCCAACAUUCAUCCUAAGGUUAGACAGCUGAUAUUAGUUGACAAUGGUCAGGUGGUACUUUCGGCUUGAUGAAGCCUGCAUGAAGCCCUGGUUUUGCAAACUGCCAAUAUAAUAUGCAAUGACUAGAUCACAUGGAGCUUUGCAAAAUUUUGCAUAUGGCCAUAAAAAAUGACGUUGCAUAAUAUUUUGGUUGGAUAAUAUAUAUUUUACUGUGGGUUGUGACACCAUGAUUUGUAUUUGGUUUCUAUGUGCAUCACAUUUUGAAUGCAAUUUAAUCUAAUUGAUUUACUGGCAGCAGGAGAUUAUUGAAGGAAAUAUAAGGAGACUUGUACUAGUAGGCAUAAGGGUCAUGAUGGGCACACUCCAAAACCAACUUUGUAUCGUUAAUGGACAUAGAAUACAAGACAAUGAACGACCGUAAUUUUCAACACGACUUGCAAAGACAAAGGAAGAGAGAAAAUUUCAAUGGAAGGUAUUGACGCUUAAAAGACAUUUCAAAUUAAAGCACGUAGGCACAACAACUUAGUUUAUGGCAUUGCAGAAUUCACGUAUCUCUCCAGCCGCGCCAGUGAGAGGUUCAAUAUCUCCCAUCUUUACCAUGGCUAAUGCGAAAUCAGAACUGAAAGUUUUACGGUUCUUGCUAUAUUCACUGACAAUACUGUCUGUGGAUCCUCCGCUGAAAAGUACUUGGUCUGAUUGAAGAAGACCCUUUUUUUGAAUGAGAUUCUUGAAGUAAUUGUUAUCAAAAGAGUUGGGUGUCACCAAAUCGAGGGCUGCAAGAUUGUCAUCACCAUCCCCAUUAUCAGCAGGACAGCGGCGUCUCCUGGUACUAGCAAAGCCCGCGUCAAUAUCAGUUCCAUUGUCGUAUAUCCUAUCCCGGAAUGUCACACAUCUUGCUUGGCCUAUUGUAUGAGAACCUGUAUUUCCAUUCAGUGAAUUAAUUAGUAUUGAGUCAUAUGAUCAAAAGUGAAUUCAAAUUCAUUCCACCUACCUGAGAGGGCAACCAUGUCUCUUGUACUCAAACCUUUGCUACCAAACAAGGAGAUAAGCCUGUCAAGGCUAUCUCUGAAGCUAGGAAGGUUGCUGGAAACUUGGCUGAGGCCUGAAGUGGUGGAGUCUCUUCUUCCAAGCUUCACUGUCCAUGUUGGCCCUCCAACCUAUUUCAUGUAUGCAUAAAAGAUUUGUCAAUAUCAUUAUGGAAUCCAUACAUAAAAAACAAUCAAGAGAUAUGAUCGUGCUAACGGUUAUAACAUUCAAUGUAUACUUACAGCAACAGAUGCAUCUCGGGCUGCCACUGCAAGAAUGUCAGCACAAGAUACAAUGCCGGGACAGAUGCUCUCCACUUGAGACUUUACAUCGUGUAUGACUUCAUAUCCUCUAGCUGAAUUCAAAUUAUUAGGUGCAUUUUUCUCACUUUGAAUGGAGGAGGAAUCAUCAAGCAAGAUUGAUGCAUCACAUCCCUGCAGUAUAAAUCUAAUGACUUAAAAUAAAAAUCUUACAAGGACAAAUAGUGUGGCUCGAGAGAAAGGAAUGAAUACCUGAACAAAGCAAUCGUGGAAAUGGAGACGAAUUAGAGAUGCCGCCAUUCUACGCUCACGAGAUACCGCCUUCCUUGUCGCUGUUCGGAUGGUACUGAGUGCCUUUGGACAUGUAUUAUCGUAGAAUGAUGAAGAAAGCUGAGCUUCACAUGGCAUGAUCGAGAGAAUCAAUAAAACUGCCACAAAAAUGCAUGCACCAUAAUUCCCUGCUAUUGAGCCCAUUCUCUCUCUCUCUCUCUCGCUGCGCUAUUGAGCAAGUAGUUUUGAUGAGAAGCACAAGCCUCUCAAUCCCUAUAUAUAGUACUGCUUCCUAACAGCAAAAGUUAUUGCUUGGGGCAUGACCCAUUGCCAUGAGAUUAUUAUAUAAAACUUUUAUCUUUUCGGCAGCUUGGAAUAUAGAAAACUAUGGAUCUCUCUCUCUCACUCUCUCUGUGAGCUAUUGAGCAAGUAGUUUUGAUAAGAAGCACAAACCUCUCAAUCCCUAUUUUUAGUACUGCUUCCUAACAGCAAAAGUUAUUGCUUGGGGCAUGACCCAUUGCCAUGAGAUUAUUAUAUAAAACUUUUAUCUUUUCGGCAGCUUGGAAUAUAGAAAACUAUGGAUGGGGGAUGGGGGGCUGAUCAGGUUCGCACUCUUUCUUGCCAGAUAUAUGUAAAGUUUAUUGCUAUGUCUUUCAAAGUCAAGAACCGACCAAGUGAUUUGGAUUCAUGUCUUUAUUUAUAUUGGCUUCAAAACCUUAGUAUUGUAAUAAAAAAUGUUCUUCACACACGCAUAUCUUUAUAUAUAUAACGUAUAUGGAACCACGAUAACACACACAUAUCUUCAAAAUGUUGGCUGCUAUUAAUUGGUCAUGAAAGGAAGACGACAAGAGAAAGUUCACCUACCUUUCCGGCAUUGUGGUCCUACUUGGUAGAAUAAAUAAAUAAGUUUGAACGCCCACGUUGAUUUACUAAUUUAAGUAUUUACGGAUCAUUCUUUGACAUUUUUAGUUACAUGUGAUUAAUUGUUUUCACUUUUUGUAAUUAUUCGAUUACAACUUAUUCUAAAGGUAUGUUCUUGAUAGCUUCGUGGGUACGUCCAAAAUCAAGUAUUGGCACCUUAUGGCAGCCAUGAAAGAAUAAGGCCGUGCACCAUGCAGCCUUCAAGAUUGAACAUUGCUAAAGUCAUAAAUUAAUCAGCAUGGGGAAAAGUUGGUGUCGACAAAAAUAUUGUUAUUUGAAUUUUACAAAAAUACGACUAGUGUUUAUCUCCAAGUUUUUACUUAUAUAAGGUUAGUCACAUGGGACCAUGAGGUGUCAAAGAUUGGAAGAGAUAAAGGGAGCGAAGUGUGAUGUGGGGGAACAUCGGUUGUAUGGAAGUAUGAAUGGUGUUUGUCUCAAAUUCUUAUUUCUAGGCGACCAAUCACAUGGCAUGCAUGAAAAGGUUCAAGUUUCAGGGGAGGCGUAAAUGCAAGAAGGGGUAAUAGCAAUAUGAUCAAUGAGAGAAGUAAAGGAGAACAAAAAUUUCUUAAUUUGUUUGGUAAGAAGUGGAACUUUUAUAGUAUUUCAAAAUAAUAAUUCUCACAUUAAUUAUUCAAUUAUAAUAAGGAGUCCUUAAGAUGAGGCGUGUUACAAAGACACAAUGGUUUGCCUUCUCAUUCUAGCCAAAAUGAGCUCAAUAUUUUUCAAUCCUGCCUCAACAAACUUUUAGUUUUAGUCAUUAAAUAAAUACCUCAAGUUAAUCUCAAUUUGCUCAAUCAUGUGAGAGUUAGUUAUGCAAUUGAGAUGUAUCAUCACUUCUGUUUUAGACUUUUCAAGCUCUACUCUUGACUUAGGCAAGUGUCUUAGCAUCAAGCUCUAUAUCGAGGGUUAAACCUUUAAAAGGGUGUUGAAGAUCAUUUGGUUAUAAUUAUACCAAAAGAAAUAUGCAAUCUUUUUUGUAAUAAGAGUGAAAUAAUCAUCUUAUUAGACAUACAUAAUGUUAUUUUCACCGAGGUGUAAAAUACAAGAGACCCUAUUGAUAUUCAACCACUAACAUAUAUACAUGUUAAUCUAUGGGCAUACUUGGAGCAUCUAUCUAAAUGAUAUAACAUUGUGAAGUAAAUAUAUAUAAGGAGAAUAUGAACCUUUCGAUGCAUAAAGAUCAAACAUGGGGUAAUAAUCAUCAUAUUAGUAUAGAGUGGCUUGGAACAUGUACCAUAUUAAGUUCCAAGAUAAUUAAUUCGCUAUAAUUGAUCUUGCCAUGAUGGAGCUUAUACAUCACAAGCUGUACACGUAACACACAAUGAUGGAUCCACUUUAUCAACUGACAAACAGGUUGAUGCCAACCAAAAUUUUCUUAAAAUUUGAACAAUUAAAAAAUUGAACAAAAUAUAUGAAACUUUUGGAUGAAAUAUUGAUAUCAACUAAUACUAUUUGUUGUUGCUACUUUGAUGCAUAUUAUUACAUUAAAGUUAAAAUACUGUUUUAAACUUCUAUGAAACUAUAAUAAUAAUAAUAAUAAUAAUUGGAGAGUAAAUUUUUUGGGUGCCACUAGGAUAGCUCGUGGUGAAUUAUAGAGAGGAUACACCUAGAUAAAAUUAUCAAAGUAGCUUGCUUAAAUUGAAAAUGAAAUUAAGCAACUAAGUAAGGAAAGGUGUGUAAUAUAAAGAGUUUAAUUGGAAAAAAAAACUGAAAGUGAUAAGGAAAAAAAAAAUUGGUUCUAGAGAAUUUAGUAGAAAUUUAUGGAAUAAUGUGCUGCAACAGUGUGAUAAUUGAGAAAUUGAUUUUUUAAAAUUAAACAUAAUUAGGAAGAUACAGGAAACAUGAGAUGUGAAUUAAUUAUUCUCCCUUUUGUGAAUAUGAUGGAUUUUUUUUAAAUGUUAUUUAAAAAAAAAAAAUUUUAAAAGGUCAUUUAAAAAAUACAUAUAAAAAUACAAGUUUUUUUCAUCUCUUAUAUAAAAAUACAUACAUUGAACUUACCUUUUUAAGACACCAAUUCACUUUCCUUUUUUUCUUUUUUUCUUUUUUAUAUUCAACCCGUCUUUUGAAAAAUGAAUUUAGUGAAUUGACUUUUUUAAAAGAUAAGUUGUACUUAAAAUCUAUGGUAAUGUUUACUUUUUCAAAAGAUGAAUUGUACUUGAAAUCUAUGGUAGUUAUAGAAUUAUUUUAUUUGGUGUUACAAUCUUUUAAAAAAUACUUGUAGUAGAAGGCCCUGGACAUGACCAUGAUCCGUCAAAACGCCUGGAAACCUCAUGCACUUAUUGCCCUAAAAUGUGCAUCAAAGCUUUGAUCGCCACAAAAUUGAUAUCAAAGAGCUUUCGCUACUGUAACAUGUCUUGAAUAUUCUCACUUUGCAUUAAUUUAUCUUUAUUUUCAUUGAACAUGACAUGAUAAUUUUUAAGAAACCAUGAUCACAUCUAAGGGAGAUUUAUAGUAGUGGGAAUAUGGGUUGCUACAUGCCAACACCCCAAAAUAUAUGAUACCUGUCUUUUAUUUAAACUAAGAUAAAGGAGUGACACUUACAUUCUCCUAUGAAUAAGACAACCCUUAUAAUUUCCUAUAAAAUAGAAACCAGUAAAGAAAUUAAUUUUGGCAUCCUCCGCCAAAUCGAAGGAAGAGAAAAAGGUCUAACACUCGUUAUUGACACUUGGAUUUUGACUGCAAAUCUUGUGAAGAAAUCAAUUUAUAGCACUACAGAGUUUUCGUAUCUCUCCGGCAGAGCCAGUGAGAGGUUCAAUAUUUCCCAUCUUAACCAUGGCUGAUGCAAAAUCAGAGCUGAAUGUUGAAGGGCUCUUGCUAUACCCAGUGACGAUACUGUCAGUAGAACCUCCGCUGAAAAGUACUUGAUCUGAUUGAAGAAGACCCUUCUUCUGAAUGAGAUUCUUGAAGUAAUUGUUAUCAAAAGAAUUGGGUGUCACCAAAUCCAGGGCUGCAAUAUUGUCAUCACCAUCCCCACUAGUAGCAGGACAGCGGCGUCUCCUGGUACUAGCAAAGCCAGCGUCAAUAUCAGUUCCAUUGUCGUAUAUCCUAUCCCGGAAUGUCACACAUCUUGCUUGGCCUAUCGUGUGGGAACCUAUAUUCCAAUGAAUAAAUUAAUAUUUAAACUUUUAUAUGAUGAGAACUGGAAUUGAAACCUCUUUUAGGGUUCCAAAUACCUGAAAGGGCAACCAUGUCUCUUUCGCUCAAACCUUUGCUACCGAACAAGGAAAUAAGCCUGUCGAGGCCGUCACUGAAGUUAGGAAGGUUGGUGGCAGCUUGGCUUAGGCCUGAGGUUGUGGAAUCUCUUCUUCCAAGAUUCACUGUCCAUGUUGGCCCACUCACCUAUAUAUUUUCAUUUAUAUUAGGAAUUUUUGAAUGGUACGUGACCGUAAUGGUAAUUAAUAAUGAUAAAUGUGUACUCACAGCGACGGAUGCAUCCCGAGCUGCCACUGCUAGAAUGUCAGCACACGAUACAAUACCGGGACAAAUGCUCUCCACUUCAGACUUGACAUCAUCUAUGACAUCGUAUCCUCGAACUGAAUUCAAAUUAUUGGGAGCAUUUUUCUCGCUUUGAAUGGAGGAGGAAUCAUUAAGCAAGAUUGAUGCAUCGCAGCCCUGCAAUUAGUCCAGUCAUUUAAUCUUCUCCUACAAGAACAUGAGAAAGAAAAUUUCUGAGGUAACUGAAUUGGCAUACCUGGACGAAGCAAUCAUGGAAGUGGAGACGAAUUAGAGAUGCUGCCAUUCUACGCUCACGAGAUACAGCAGUCCUGACCGCUGUCCGGAUGGUACUGAGGGCUUUUGGACAGGUGUUAUCGUAGAAUGAGGAAGAUAGCUGAGCUUCACAUGGCAUAUUUGAGAAAAUAAACAAUAGAGCAACAAAAAUACAUGCUGUUGAGCCCAUUUUCGCUCUUUAGUUUUGCUUGUGCAAGAGGGACUGUAAAGAACUCAAGAAAGGACGCUCUCUCUCUCUCUCUCUCUUUCUCUUUCUGAUAUUGAGCUACUAGUUGUAAUUAUGAGAAGCACAAAGCCUCUCAACCCCUAUUUAUAUUGCUCGGCCUAACAUGAACUGUAAGCUCAAGAGCUCCCGGUUGGUAGAACGAAUCAAAGUUUUCAAGAGGACCCCACCUAAUGUCAAGAGCUUAUCAUUUAAGACCAUCUUUUUGGCAGCCUGGAAUAUGGAAAACUAUGAAGGCGCAGACAAAGGUUCGUAAGUUGUCAUGUCACAUACAUCCAAAGUUAGUUGUUAUCUCUUCCCAAGUCAAAAACCGACUAAGUCACUUAGAUUCAUAUGUUAACUACCUUCCCUGCAACAUUUUCUUACUAUUUCUUUCACAGAUCAGUCUGACUCUUGCCUUGAGAUCCUAGCAAACAUCAAUCUAAUGUGAAAUCACAAAUCUUCCGAUGAAAUUCAUAUAUGUUUAUAUGUAUUAUCUAUGGGUUGGUAAAAGUCAUUUUCCUAACUAGCUAGAAAAAUUCAUUGUGGUUACAUUCACACCCACCUCAUCCAUGAUUAAUUAUAAGGCUAUCUCCAUCAGAAAGUUUAUUGAUCUUUACACACUAAUUACUAUGCCGAAUGGUAUACUAAUCUGUUAUAAAACGUGGACUUAUAUCGAUCGACAUGAGGGAAAGACGACAAGGUCACAGUUGUUCACCUACCUUUCCAGCAAUUUAGUCCCAAUCGGCAUGAUAUAUAAGUCUGAACGUUAUAUUCAUUUACUAAUUCUAGUAUUUAUGGGGAUCGUUUGACAUUUUUAAUUGCACGUACAAACAAUUUUGUUUUGACUUUUCAUAUUUUUUUUAUUGUGACUUUAUUCUAAAGGAACAUUUAGACAGCUACGUUAUUAGGAUUUACGUGCAAACAAAGACAUGGACGAAUAUACAUGCAGGACGUAGCCCACAAGAUUGACUAUUGGCAACGCGGACUAGCUGAAAAAAAGCGACUCACUCGAACCCUUGUGCCUUGUACAGCUCGAUGAAUGAGUUAGUAAUAUACAAAUACAAUGCAAUUGCUUGUUUGCUUGUUCCCAACCAUUAAAAUAUAAAAAAUUAUGAAAAUAUUGGAUUUUGUUAAAAUAUUAAAAAUUAACAUAAAAAAUAUGAGACGAAAAUUGAGAUAAAAAUUGACUAAAACUUAUAGAAAUAUUGAGAAAAACUUAAUUUAAUAAUAAAAUAUUUAAAAAAAGUAAUAAUACAUAUAUUAAUUUGUGAUAUUUGAUAAUAAUAUGUUGAACUUGAUAACAUAUUUAAUAUUUAAAUGAUAAUCUAUUUAGUAAAUUUAGAUUUAAGGAUAUAAAAGAAAUGAUGAUAUAUAUAUAAUUAUUUUCUUGUCUGAACCGAUGAAAUUCACUUGAGCUUAAUAAUUGUCCCAAAUUUUUUUGUUGAAAUUUCACAAUUUUUGCAUCCAUGCUUGUCUUAAACCAAAUCUAGUUUGGUCAACACAAGGAACUUACGAUUGUUAUAGCUAUAAGAAAAACUGAUGCAAUUCAACCAAAAUAUAUCAGAUUGGUUUGGUUUUCAAUAUCUAUAAAGGUUAGUUUGGGUUAAAGAUUUUGAAAACCAAUUUUAUUAGUUUAUUUUUUGGUUUUCUAAUCUACCCCCUACCGGCGAAAAAUGAGUCUUGUCAAAAUGGUAAUCAACAAAAUAUGUUGUAAAAACAUUAUUGGUUUGAGGUUUCAAAUAUCGAAUGAUAAAUGGAGAAUCAAAACGAACAUAAAUCCGAAGAUGUCUUUGAGGGCCCAUUUUAGUUGUUUGAAAAGGAGGAAUAGGAACAAGGAUAACAUAACUAAAAAUUCUUAAAUGAGAAACAUUUAGUUAUUGAUCAAGUACAAGUUGUAAAAGUGAGUACUCAUAGUAAGUAGAAGGUUGAAGAUAGAUUAAGGUUGCAUCAUGGAGUAAAGCAUAACCCCAAGUAGAGAAAUGUAGUUAUGUUCUUAAUUAGAAGUAAUGGCCAAGCAAUCAAUUGAAGUCAUUUAAUAAUAUAUUCAGCUAAACCAUUUUAUGUGCGAGCAUGAGCAACGAGAUGCUCAAUUUUAUUUCGAAGUGCUAUACAUUAGUUAAUAAAUGUUUCAAAUGAAGAUUCACCAUAUUAUCAAGAAAAAUUUUCUUGAUAAGAUAAACUAAAAAUUGUGGUCUUAGAUUGAUUAUUUGAGAAAAUAAAAUUAAUGUAAAGGGAAUAUUGUGAGUAAAAAGAAGAUGAACAUGAGACCACCUAGUUGAGGAAUAUAUUAAGACCAUAAAAUACCAUAAUAGUAUACUAGAAGAGUGGAUGGGCCCUAUAUAUCCUCAUGAAUUCUUUCUAAAAAGGUUGGGGAUUUUGAGACAAUACAUGUGAACAAUGGUUUAAUAAUUAAUUUAUCUUAUAACCAAAAAUAAAAAUAUCGGUAAUUACUAAUAUAUUGAUAUUUUGAUUUUACAUAUAUGCGGGAGAUAUAUUGACAGAUAUUUUGACACAAAAUAUCAAUAACGUAAAAAAUUAAUGAAAAUUAUGAAAAUAUUAGAAAAAAAACUUUUAAAAAAUUAUAUAAGAAGUAAAAAUAGAUAUUUUAAAAUUAUUUUUAAAAAAAAUAUAAAUUUAAUAAGUAUACAUUUAUUAUUAUGUUGCACAAUAUUAUUUUAUAAAAAUAAUAUGAUAACAUGUUUAAUUUUAUAAUAUAUUUAAUAUUAAAAUUAGGAUCCAUUUUAAUUUAAAUGAAUUCAAUUAUAUCAAAUAAAUAAUAAAAUAUGCAUAAUUUUUUUUAAUAUUUAUAUUUUUUAUAUUUGAUAAAUAUAUAGAUUAUAUAAAAAAAAAAGGCAUAAAAUUACGUUUUCAUAUUUUUGGUAAUAAAUUAAAUCAAAUUAAAAAAUAAACUAAUUAGAAUUAAUUUGUUUAAUAAAAUAAUCUUUAGUGUUCUUAUAUAUUUUGGUGCAUAAUUUUUAUCAAAGAGUAUCGACACCCCCCAAUACAUGAUUAUAACAAGCAACAGAAUUGUAAUAAUUAUGCACAUGAAUCUUUUGGUUCUUUAAAAGGUGACUGAGUGUUAUAGAUAAUAUGAUGCAUUGUAAAUGACCUUAGGUGACUAAAUCAUUCAUGUCAAAGCAUAAAAGUACUUUAGUCAUAGAAUUUUUGGUUAUUACAUCAUAUGACUCAAUGAGUCUAAUGGUUGUGUGAUUCAACCCAUAGGAAAAAGCAGGGAGCUUCUCUACUUAGGUGUUUUUAUUCAAAAAUGAUAGAAGUCAUAUAAUACUUUUCAUUAACUUCAUUCAUAGUUUCAAUAUAAUAUUCAUUUAUGUAAAUACCUUUAAAACUAAUCAGAUUCCCUUUGGAUCUAACUGAAUAUAAUGCAUCACUAAUAUUAAGUUUAGUUCCAUUAGGUAAAACAAUAGUAACUCUUUCAGAGUGAAUCAUGUUUACAAAACCUAAUAUUGUAUUAGCAUUAGCUGGUGCAAGUAUUAAGUUUGAAAACUACUUUUUAUGUCUAAGAAUUGUAUGUUGUGUUUUACAAUCUACAAAACAUACAUCUUCAUAAUGUGUUAUGUAAUUAAUCAAGUUAGGAUGAUUCGUCUAUAUGUUUGACAAAGAAAAUAAUAAAUAUAUAAAUGUCAUGCAUAGAAUAUGAAAGAAACCUUAUAAAAAUUUAAUGUUUGUAAACUAAAAGAACAUAUGAAGAUAGAAUAGCAUGUCAAGACAUAACCGUUAAUUAUAACAAGCAUGCCCUUUCUCAAUUAAAUGAUCAAUUUUGUUACUAGCAUCUUCAAAAAUAAAAAAAAUAAAAAAAAUAAAAAAAAUUGGCAUAUCUAAGUGGUUUGUAUCUUCAAUUUCUUUAUUAUCAACAAAGUUCAUCUCAACCUUUUUUUUUUUCUUUUCUUUUUACUUUUUAUGAGGCUUAGUAAACGUCAAUUAAACAUUGUGACAUAUGACAACUAUGUGAUUAAUGUCCUUACAUGCUACAUCUAUAACAUUUAUUCUCAUGAGUCUUUUUGCCUUGUAUAUUGUUUCACUUUUAUCAUGAUGUCGUUUUAGUAUUAUUCCACUUUUGAUGGUAGGUUGUAUUUUUCCUAUUAUGAUAACCAUAGUUUCCAGAGUUAAUUAUGUCUUCUAUGACUACAACCACUAAAGAAUGGAAGUAGUCAGAUAGUAUUAAUGAUUUUUCAAUAAAAACUCGUUGUUUUGUUAAGCAAUUAGAAGACAUGAAAUCAAUUUUAAAUAUUUGGUAAAUCUAUGCUUUUGAUAUUGUUGCUAUAAGGUACAUCAAAAGCAUGAAAAAUAGUAAAUGUCUUUUCUAACAUAUCUUUUUUAGUAAUCUUUCUCCAUAUUGCUUCAAUUGGGAGCUAAUCUUGAAUAAUACAGUUUUUGGCCAAGAUUAUAGUCUUUUCGUGGUUGUAUCAUUCUUUCAAAUUGAUCCAAAAAAUGAGAGGGUCCUUGAUCAUAAGAUAUUCACUCUUUAAUCCUUCAUCGAUACGAUGGCAAAAGAAAAUUAAUACUUUUGUAUUAUUCUAUGGGAAUGUGUCAUUUUCUUCAUUAGUGGUUGCUCUAAGGUUCAUUGCAUGGAGGUGGAUUUCAGCUACCAAUAUCUGUGACAAAUAUUUUUUUUUUCACCGAUAUAUUAAGAGUGACAAACUCAACUUUGGUAAGCUAUAUGUGAUAUAGUUUAAUCAAAAUCAUCAAAAUCAUAUAUGAAGUAUAAAUAAUAAAUAAUACACUUCAAAUAAAUUUAAUAAAGGAGAGAGAAAUUUUAUAUUAUAUAUAUGAGUACAGCUUUAAUUGCAUGAAUUAUUAAUUUAUUAUAACUUUUAUCUUUCAUAAAAAGUGAACUUCCCUAUUUGGCAAAAAGCUUUCCUUUAGAUUAAACAAAUUAAAUUUAACAAUGAGCAUCUAGGAAUUCGGGGUACAAAUUACAUAUAUUAUAUAAUAAUAAACAGAUUAGGAAAACAAAUUUGAUGGUCUCUCUCAAGUAUAAAAAAAAAUAUUAUUAUUUUCAUAACAUGUGGUUAUGAAUAAUGAUUAUAAUUUCAAUUUAUAUAAAAAUGUUAAUAUUAUUGAAAAAUGUUGAUAUUAUUAUUUUCAUAAUUUUUUGUUAUAAAUAAUAAUUACAUAGUUUUUGACUAUGUAUAAUUUUAAUUUAUGACAUGUAAUUUCUAACUAUAUAUUUUUAACAUUUAUUAAUCUACUAGCUUUUUUUGUUUUCCAUUCCAUAGCUCUAGACUAUGAAUAAUGAAAAAAAAUGAAUGAUACAGGUUGUAAAAUAAAAGAAGAAUAAGAAAUUAAUAGGCAGAAAAACAAAUUUCAAUGCUAAGAAUAAUGUGUUUAUUCCAUUAGUAGGUGUUCCUUUUAUAUAAAGUCCAAGAGGAGAUUUAUAACAAUAGGAAUAUGUUAUUUAUUUAUUUAUUUAUUUUCAGUUUAUUUUAAUCUAAUUUAAAUAUUUUUUUUCAUGAACUCUUACUAAAAAUAAAACCAUAAAAAAUCAAUUAAUUUGAAUGAAAAUGAAUUUAAAAUAAAAUUUUUAAAAUUGAAAUCCAGAUUUGGUACCCAUAUAACACCACUAUUUUUACUUUAUAACUCAUCUAAUUAUCAAUGGAAAUAAAUUUCAUAAAUUUCUAUAAAUUCAUGAAUAAAAAAUUAAAGACAACAAUUAUGAAAUUUGAAGUAGAAAUGAAUUUACUAUAGUUUUUAAAAAUUCAAACCUUUAGGAUAAAAUAAAAUAACUAUAAUCAAUUUCAAUGUAAUUUCUUUAAUUCUACUCCAAAAUAUAAUUAUCUCAUCUAAAUACCCACUAAAAUCAACCAUUCUAAUUAAUUUUGAAAUAUAAAAAGUUAGAAUUCGCAAAAUUCAAAAUUCAAAAAUUAAUAAAUUAAUAAUUGAUUACAAUAUUGAAGUCAAUUAUCAAUAGAAUUGAGUUUUAGACAUCCUGUACUAGGGGAACCAUCCUAACUUAUAUACAUACAACGAAUACUGGACCUCCAUGAGAGAGAGAGAGAGAGAGAGAGAGAGAGAGAAGUGGGGAGAGAAAGGGAGUAUUUCACUACUAGGAGUGUAUUUUGCUACCAAUUGAGGUAUAUAUAUACCCUUCUCUAUUUUAGAUAGAAGGCAAGGGUGUAUUUCACUAUAAUAAGAGUUUGUGAUGAUGAGAUACUUUGUUUAUAGAAAAUGUAUAGAGGUUACAAUUCAUAUUAGUGGGUUGUAUUUUUAUCAUGUCCAAUGAUGAAAAUAUUAAUAAUUACGGAUAUAUUGGCAUUUCGAUUUUACGAAUAUAUUGAAGAUAUUUUCUCGGAUAUUUUAAUACAAAAUAUCGAUGUACCUAAAAUUAAUCAAAACUUAUAACAAUGUAAGAAAUUGAUAUAUAUAUAUAAUUUAUUAUAUUUCAUAAUAAUAUUGUAUGCAUCAAUAAAAAAUAUAAAUUUCAUAACUGUACAUUUAUUAUUAAAUUAUAUCAAAUAUUAUUUAAUAAUAAUAUUGUGAUAUUUGAUCAUAAUAUGUCUAAUUUAAAAAUAUAUUUAAUAUCAAAAUUAUAACCUAUUAAAUUCAAUUGUAUUAAACUAUAUAAAAUAAAUGAUGAUAUAUGUAUAAUUUUUAAUAGUUAAUUAAUAUAUUAAUGAUAUUAAAAAUACUAUGAAGAAAAUUAUCAUGAUAAUUUGUAUAUUUUGGUAAUCAAUUAAAUGAAAUUUUUUUAUUUAAUUAUAAAAUAAUUAUAAUUAAUUUAUUCAUUAAAAUGUUAUUUUAAUAUUAUGUUUAUACGAUGAGUUUUAGUUCAUAUAUGUUUAGUGUGGUAUAUAUAAUAAGAGGCAAGCUUGGCUGAGUGGUGGGCCCAGUUGUGUUUUUAACUUUCACCACCACAACAACAUAUUGCGAAAAAUCGAUAAAAUGUAUAUAAGUUUUGAACUGCCCUAUUUUGACUACCGCAAAAUAUCGCGAAAUAUUGAGGAAAAAUCGAUAAAAUCCCAAUAAAUUUUAAAAAAUCAUUAAAUUUGAUCGCCACCACCUUGUGUUGACCGUUGCAAAAUAUCGGUGAAAAAUUAAUAAAAUGCUGAUGAAUUUUGAAAAAUCGAUAAAUUACCAAAAUAUCGAUACAUCGAUAUUUCUCUCCCAUAUAUCGUGUUAAGGUCCAUUGAAACACUAUAUCAUCGAAAUAUCGCGAUAUUUUAAUUCCUAAUUGUGUCAAAGCUUAUGCAUUCAACUAAAUUGAUCAAUCCAAUCUGAAUAUGAAUAAUGAUCGAGUAAAAAACAUAAACAUAAAUAAUAUUUAAUUAUUAAAUAGGUAACAUAUUGUUUAACACAUUUAACGUGUCUAAUAAGCAAGUCUUAUUUAAUAAUCAAGUUGAGUUAAGUCUUGAUAAAUCUAUAUGACUAAUGCAUUAACCAAACAUGUUUAUAAUUCAGUCAACCUAUUUAUUUAAAAUGAAUCAAAUAUGAGUUAAAUAGUUUGAAAUUGUAAUAAUUAGAUAAAUCAAUAUAAUUAUUAAAUGAAUUAAUUUGGGUUAAAUUCAUGUGAUGCAGGUUGAUUAGAAUAUUACUUAUUUAUUAAAUACAAGUUAUGUAGAUCAGUACACAAAUUUGAUUUAUUCUCGAUUAUACUCAAUCAAAGUUGAUAAAAAUCGUCAAGAGUUUGAGUUAUAAUAAUGAAUCAUAUCAAAUCUUAUCAGCAUGACAUUGUAUGUUGUAUUUGAGUUCUUUAUAUAAUUAAUCAUAAGGUCAACUCGGUUUUAUAGAAGUUGUUGGUAAACAUUUCGGAACACAAAAUCAAUUGUACAUUUAGAUUGACCAAAUGCUCAUGAUGCGGUGAGCAUAGAUUAACAUUAUGAAGUACACAAGAAUCACAACAGCGACGCUGACCGCCACGGGGAUGAGAUCAUUAGAAAUAUCAAUAAGAAUAGGGCAAUAUGGCGUUGAGAUCAAGCUGUAACGCGUUGUCAAUGUCAAAAUUUGACCCUACAUGCGUAUAGAGCAUGCUUUUAGAACUAAGCUACAACCAAGCAUAUAUGAAAAGUCAAAGAUAAAAUUUUGUACCAUGCAUACAGUUAAGAGUUUGAAACAAUUCCUAUAAAUAUCGUAAGAAUAUGUUAUGGUAUCUUUAGUGUAGUAUUAUUUUCUAAUUUAGUUUUAUAAUUAAAAAUUCAUGUUUAGUAACAUGUUCUUAUUUUUUUUAAAAAGAAAAAAAUUGAUAAUGAAAAUUUUGAAAACAAUUGAAAAAGUAUUGUUUAAUAGCAUGAUUUAAAAGAAAUGGAAAAUAGGAUAGAGGUAGUUUAAAAUAAAAGUCACCUUAAAAAAUUUGAAAAUAUUUAGAAGUUUGUAUGAGGUGAACGCGUCUUUUCUCUAUCAUUUGUUUACCUCAUUCUUUGUUAUAAAAAAAAUGACAUAAGUGCAAAAUGAUUCAUUGCCCUACGAAUUUAUAGUAUCUAACUCGCUCAAUAUGGAGUCAACCCUAUGCCCAAAUUGAUGUGGAUAAGGUUUUGAAUGAGUUAAAAUAUGACUUAAAUUAUAAAAAUAUCAACUUGAAAAUAACAAAGGAACUCCCUAAGAUUUCUUAGUUUUUAAUUAUGUUAAAUUAAUAAGUUUAUCAUUUUUCCUUUGAUGGUUAAGUUUGAGACUACAAAAAGUUAUUUAAGUAAAGACAGGGAUUAAUAAUUUAUUUGUGAUUUUGAAAUAUUUAUUUUUUAAUUUGUUAUUUCAUAAUAUGAUUUAUAUUUUAUAAAAUUUAAAAUAAUUAUUUUAUUUGAUAGACUGUAUGAACCCAUGGAAACCCGAAUUAUCCAUGAGCUUAAUGUGUCCCAACUUGACCUUGGGUUGGGUUUAAUGUAGAUUAAAUAUGCAUGUUGAGGGUGGUUUGACAUGGAUUAACCUUCUAAACCCGUUCAAGAAAGGGGUUGACACACUUUUUAACGCAUGGAAGAAUUGAAGAUCUCUUAUAUCUUCCUUAUAGGUGAUGAUAUAAAAUAAAUUCCCAAAUUUUUGUUUUGAAAAAAAAAAAAUCCAUUCAUUUUUCUCAUCAAAAGGAUUAUAUUAUUUUUUACCCUUAACAACUCAAUUAAUAAAAACUCUAAUUUUAGUAGAACAAUAAAUAUUAUUUCAUAAAAAAUGAACAAGAUUUAAAAAAUGUUUUUCUUUCAAUUUUGAAUUUAUCUUGAAAUUUAUUUUCUGUUUUUUAUUUUUUUAUUUUUAAAGAAAUAAUUUAUUUUCCUUUUUUUUUUAUUUAUUAAGAAAGGCUUUGAAAACUAAUAGAAAAGGGAUUAAGUUUUAAGAUAAAGAAUAAACAGAACUGAAAAUUUGUUUAUAUGUGUAGUUUUAAAAGUAACAAAAACAAAAUUGUAUGGGAGUGAUGGCCUCUUCAAAUUCAUUAAUUGGAAUCAUGAUGGUUCUUGCUAAAAAGCAUGCAGUGAGAACAGGCCUACAUAAAAUCUAGCCUUCUAAAUCAAGCCUUUUGACUUUGAAAUGGCAAUACUCAGUUCCCUGGGCUUUUGGUAAGGAAGAUGUCAAUUCUCAUCAGCCACACGGAACAAGCAACUUUGAUUUGUUCUACAAACUGGAAGGCGCUCUUGAAGGUUUCUCUACAACUCUCAGUCGUCCCCAUUACAAUGCCGACUUUGAUGAACAGGUCAUGCACCAACCUUCCUGUUGCUACUAUAAGUAAGGUCUCAGGCCUCUGCCAUUACCAUCAAGCCAUCUUUGUUCUUCAGUACCUUAACAGAAAGAGAGAAAAGGUUUCUUUUCUUGUAUAAUUAAUUAGUCUGUCUGGUUUCAUCUAACAGAGAAAAUGGGCUCAGCAUACCCAAGCUCAAGUCGGUCACCCUUUAUUUCUUAUGCAUGCAUUUUUCUUGCUGUCUUCUUUAUUCUCUCAAAUGCCCCAUGUGAAGCUCAGCUAUCUUCAAAAUUCUACGAUAAUACCUGUCCAAAAGCACUCAGUACCAUCCGGACAGCCAUCAGGACAGCGGUAUCACGGGAGCGUAGAAUGGCGGCGUCUCUAAUUCGUCUCCACUUCCACGAUUGCUUUGUUCAGGUAUUCAUUAAUUCUCAUGCUUCUAACUCCAUUUGUUCUUGUUGAAGAAAGUUAUUAAGUCUUUGGAUUAACUGCAGGGCUGUGAUGCAUCAAUCUUGCUUGAUGAUUCCGCCACCAUUCAAAGUGAGAAAAAUGCACCCAACAACAACAAUUCAGUUAGAGGGUUCGAAGUCAUAGACAAUGUCAAGUCUCAGGUGGAGAGCAUUUGUCCGGGCGUUGUUUCUUGUGCAGACAUUCUUGCAGUCGCAGCUAGAGAUUCAUCUGUUGCUGUAAGUAUACAUUUAUCAGUAAUUAUUACCAUCACUAGAUCAUUAAUCUUUAUACACCAACUUCAUGAUGAUAUUAAUUUAAAAUUCUGAAUAUAAUUCAAAAUAGGUUGGAGGGCCAACAUGGACAGUGAAGCUUGGAAGAAGAGACUCCACCACUUCAGGGCUCAGCCAAGCAGCAGCCAACCUUCCUAGCUUUAGAGACGGCCUGGACAAGCUUGUUUCCUUGUUCAGUAGCAAAGGUUUAAAUACAAGAGAAAUGGUUGCUCUUUCAGGUAAUUGCAACAGCAAAAGUUUUAACAGCUCAUCAUGACCUUUUAACAUGGCUAGAUACAGUCCUAAUAUGUUCCUUGAAUACAGGUUCUCAUACAAUAGGGCAAGCAAGAUGUGUGACAUUCCGCGAUAGAAUACACGACAAUGGAACUAACAUUGAUGCUGGCUUUGCUAGCACUCGGAGGCGUAGGUGUCCUGUUGAUAAUGGGAAUGGUGAUGACAAUCUUGCACCCCUGGAUUUGGUGACACCCAAUUCUUUUGAUAACAAUUAUUUCAAGAAUCUCAUUCAAAGAAAAGGCCUUCUUCAAUCAGAUCAGGUGCUUUUUAAUGGAGGAUCUACGGACAGUAUUGUGACCGAGUAUAGCAAGAGCCGUUCAACUUUUAGUUCGGAUUUUGCAGCUGCCAUGGUGAAGAUGGGAGAUAUUGAUCCUCUCACUGGUUCCAACGGGGAGAUACGAAAACUCUGCAAUGCCAUAAACUAAUUUGUACCCAAGCUUUUUCAUUCGAAAUCUAAGUGUUGAUAGUGUCUUUUGAAUGUUUUUUAAAUUUCUUCCUUUAUUUUGAUUUGUCAUGGUGAAAAUUAAUGUUAUUCUUUAAUUCUAUGUUGUAAUAGAGUUCUAUUCUCUCUUCCACUUCUGGUAUACAAGCUUCUCCCCGUGCUUAUAUCUCCCUAUGAUUAUAUGUCCUCCAUGGUCUCCUUGGUCAAGGAAACUACGAUUAUAAUGUAUUAAAAAUGCUAAAAGCAAGUGACAGAAUAUAUUCAAAACCUAUAAAUGAUCAUCAUAGUGUGCAUAACUGACAAUUAAAACCAGCUCAAAACUUUUAAAGGCGAUGAACAUUCUUAACCUACUUUUCUGUAAUUACAAUACAAAUUACUAAACCAUAUAUACAAAUUAGACACUUCCCCUAGAACCUAAAUUUGGAUGCAAAGAAUUAUUUUCUAAAUUUAUAUAUCUUGCUCAUGAUCCUCGUAUUUGGAAUGAAAGAAAAAUAAUAAUAAUAACUUGGCUCCAAGCAUCAAUAUUGUUUUUGUUGUGAUUGAGACACUAAUCGAGUAGUGGAUCGAUCUCUAAGACUACAUUUGAUUCUCGAAAUUGAGGGAAAAUGCAAAAGAAAGUAAAUAGACAAGAAAAGUAGAAGGAAAGAAACAGUGAAAGAAAAUGAAAAAUAGAGUUGAAGUCAAUAAAUUAUUUUUAUUUCUUAUUGCAAACUUAUUUUAUUUAUUUUAAUUCAUCAAUAUAAAAAUUAAAUAAUUUUAAAAUAUAUAAAUUUCUAAUUAAUUUUAAUUAUAUUUAAUUCUCUUUGGAAUUUUCUAUGAGACAAUCAAAUAUGAUAAAAUAAAUUUUUUUAGUAUUUCUUUUAUUUCUUAGUACUUUCUAGGAACCAAACAUAUCCUAAAUGAAGCAAGAAGUAUAAUACAAGAAAGUGCACUAGAAAAUUAAAGAUGCAAACUAACAUCCAAUAAGUUGAUAUCCUAUAAGUCAUGCCCGCAUACUACUAUGACGUCAUGACUUCACCUUAGGAUUAAACAAACAUUAAAUUUAACAAUGAUGAUCGAAUACUCUUAGAUAUCUGCAAGUAAUUAAGUUUAUUGGAUAAUACUAAUUCAGGAAAAAGAAAAUUGUCUUCAACACUAGAGUCGAGAAUUAAUGGUGGUGUUCCAUAGUCUGCUACUGUUAACACCCUCUUUAAAAGAACUAUUCAUGUAUUUGCAAUGGAUAUGAUAAAAUUGGCUGGCCAUAAGGAUAUUGUAAACUCUUUUGUAACCAGCUAGGGAUAUGGGCUGAUUUUGUAAUUUUAAUUGAUUUUAUUUUUCGCAUAAUAGGAUGAAAUUUAAUUGAAAAUCUUUAGUAACAGACCGCAAAAACGACUUGCCAAUUGACAUCAUGCCUAUUUAAUUUUAACCACAUGAAAAAGAGAAUAUAUGUACAAUAAUGCAAGAAAUCACAUGAGAUAAAACAACUGUCACUGUUAUUUAUAAAAAAUAUAAUGACCCUUCUACGAGUGUCAAGAUAGGCAAGAAUUUAAAAUUGGCCCGCCCGGAAGUAUCAUGGUCAAUAUUAGUCAAGACAUAAGAUGGGUCUUGCACCGUGUGUCAACGUGGCCAGUGAAAUAGACAAAUAGUUCAAGAAUCUAAUUAAAAAAACAAAGUGUCUUCUUCUGAGUUCUUCAAUGGGAUCAAAUCCUAUUUACUGGAGGUUCAAGUGACAGUAUCAUGUGGGAGCAUUGCAGGAGCCCUGCAAACUUCUGAGUCCCAUUUUGCACCUGCCAUGGUGAAAAUGGGAGAUACUAUUGAUCCUCCCACUAUGUCAUCUGGGGAGACAUGUAGGAUUUGCAGUGCAGUCAACUAGUUCUAGCAAUUCCUUCUUAGGCUUAUAUAUAUUUAGCCUAAUUUACUUGUUUCUUUUCUAGUGCAUUAAAUGCAUUAUUUGUUUACUCAUAAAAGAUUACAAGUAAUAUAUAUAGACUGAAAGUUAUGGUCAUUUUUUAUCAUUUAUUGAGAAAAUACACUGGAAGAAAAAUUAAAGUAGAAAACAUAGAACUCCACUCAACUCAACUUUUCAAGUACUUGUUCUCAAGGUCUUGGCAGUGCCAUCCUCUGGUACUGACUGGUCUGCAGACUGGAAGAUGCCUUUUUCUUUUCCUCCUUUGAAUUGGAGAGUCCUCAUUACUCAAAGGAAAUUCUCAAUUUCACCUAAAAUGUUAGUUUCUUGUUGCUCGUGAGUGGGGUGGCUCCUGCUGGCUCUCCACAUCGACUUGCCGAUUUCCUUAUCCAACAGCAUGUUUAUUUCCUUCCCUAUUGUGCUGGACACAUGGAAUAAUUUCAUACCCAUUCUUCCUUCAUACAGUAGCUUCCAGUUGAUCUUCAUUGUGGAGCUAGCUGGUAGUUCCAGCAACUUUAUUCAUAGCUGCUUGGGAAGUUUUCUUGACUUUUCUUCUCUUCCCAUUCUUCUGUCUCAUCAAGUCUUCGUUUGUUAUAAUUUCUUAACAAGUUGUUCUCUAUGAGCACUGUAGGAUCCUCUCCGCAAGGUCGUCCUUAAGUCCACCACUCUCUUACAACCGUUUGGCUAGAGGUGCCAUAUGAGAAACUGCUCUCAGCUAGAUGGCCCUACGGUCGAGUGACUGAUCCGUCUCAAAGUAGGUCAGACGGCUACAUCCUAAACGGAUACAGCAUGGCUAAAGCAUGACUGUUUAUUAUGCAUUUACACUCAUUAAUGUGUAGAUUGUGCGUCUGGCAUGCUCCAUAUUAACUACGGUUGUCAUGGGAAAUGUUCCAUUCUCAACGGCUCAUCAUUGCAAGACAACCGUUAUACAUCGGCAAUCAAUGCCAUCAGAUCGCACAAUCAAGCAUAAUUAAGGUGCUAUUAAGACACUUGGUAAGACAUUACACAACAAAAAGUAUAAAUAACCAUGUGGACACUACAAGGAAAUGGGGAGCUUUCUUUCUAAAAAAGAAUUCAACUUGCCUAAGCCAUUUACUGACUUUAGCAUUAGAAAGGCAUGCCCAAACCAACCAUGCAGACAACCUUUGUGCAGGGAUUGUAGUUGUUUGCAUCUUAAAAAGCUUAUACGGAAAUGUUGGCAUAUCUUUCAUCCAGGUCGUGGCAGCUAGACAAGACUACUCGUUCGGAUCGUGUUACAACAUUGGCGUCGUUUAUGGGAACUAAACCAAAAACAUAUUAGCAUGAUGAUCAAUACAUCUAAUGCAUCCCAAUCAACCACUGUGGUAAACCAAUUCCAAGCUUGGCAAGGCUAAAUGGAAAGAAAAUAAGAAGAAAAUGAGCAUCGAAUGCAAUCAUUGCUUCAGCAAGUCGAGCAACUUAAAUGGGAAAAUAGAGAGUUACGAGCUCAGAUGGCCGAUGGGCAUCGCUUGCAGAGCCAUUAAACCCCUCCUCAACUUCCAACCCUAACCAGAAUUGCAGCCAAACGACACGCUCAUCCAGAUGACACGUAGAGUCAUCUCACCAAAUGCAUGAGGAAGACUUUUCUUCUAGCCACUCUUCUACUCAGCCUGAACGGACUUAUUCUUCAAUCAAUUAGUACCACCAUGACAAGGCUACUAGCUCCAACAAAGGAAAGCGAAAAAUAGAACGACAAAGCUCUCACUUAUCAAACGCCAUGAAGGCCCGCUUGGGGCCCCAAAACCAGUAAACCCAAGCACUCCUGCGCAUAUCUGAAGCCUUGAAGGCUCGAUUGGGCCAACCAAAACAGGAGACAUCACCAAGCUUCCAGCCUUUGUAGGCGUAGCUACCAGUUGCGCCCGAGCCUAUAAGAAAGGCACCCUUAGGCUUUAUUAGCUGACAACUAGAUGAUAUGAUUUCCAUGCCGUUCGACCAUCAUAUCAUAAGUUACGAGCCUCCUAGAGGGUUCCAGGUGCCCAAGUGACCCAUUUGAUCAUCUGCUGCACUACCGAUAAUUGAUGACAUUGAACAUUGGGAACGAUGUGUUGCUCUACAAGGACUUUCUUACCAGCCUCCAUGGUUCAGCCUUGUCAUGGUUUCAUUGCCUCCUUCAAACUCCAUCAAUUUGUUUCAUGAUGUUUAUGAGGAAUUUGUCAAGCACUACUUAUGUUCUACGUGUAAAAGCAUAAUAUAAACACCUUGUAGAAUAUUAAGAUGCAAGAGAACAAAUUGUUGAGGGAUUUCAUGAAGCGAUUCAAAUAGGCGGUACUUUAGGUGGAGUCCUAUGGCAUGGAUAUCAUUCUUUAGAUUUUCAAUAGGAGUAUAAGCCCCAACACUUCGUUCUUUGAGUCCCUAGCCAAAAGUUGCCCGCCUUGAUGGACGAUUUGUUUAGAUAAGAGGAUAAGUAUGCUAUGCUCGAGGAUGAUGUUUGAGUAGGUUCUCAGCAAGUUCUGGUCACUAACCGGUCAACAAACAAAAAUAGCAAAGCUGGAAGCUCAAAGUCCCCAAAUAACCAGUCUAGACAGGAGGGAUGAAAACAAAACAAAUAAAAACAACAACCCCUUAAGCUCACCCCGUUGACUAUCUCUUAUGAGCAACUCCUUCCACUGAUUCAAGAGCUGCCCAAAUUCAGAUGGCCAAAACCAAUCAAGACUGAUCUGGUUAGGCGAGAUCGGAAAUGACAAUGUUCUUACCAUAAAGAUCAUAGACAUACAAUAGAGUAGUGUAAGAACUUGCACUACUUAGUGGAAGAGCUCAUCAAAGUCGAACACCUAAAGCAAUAUGUUUGUGCCCCUGAUAGACAAGAUGAAAGAGGAGCAACCCAAUAGGUCACUCUAUCUUCUACAACACCUAGAACAAUCAUCAAUUAUAUACAUGGAGGGCCCGUAGAUGACAAGUAUCACUCCCAAAGAUAGAGGCGAAGGCUAGUUUGUGUAGCCUUUGUCAGAAAAAAAGUGCAUACUGUUCAGUGCACGUUCACUGAUGAUACUGUUUGACCAAUAGAUGGGCCCAUUACUUUCCCUCCCAUUGAUUCCAACUAAGUAAUCCUACCACACGAGAAUGCUCUGGUCCUAACACUUAGAGUUGAUGGCUUUGAUGUGCACAAAAUUCUCGUUGAUCCAAGAAGCUCUACCAACCUCCUACGAAUGUCAACUUAUAGGCAAAUAGGGUAUUCUCUGUCUGCUUUAGAAAAUCCUGGCCAGGUUUUGACUGGAUUCAAUAGAGCCUCAACAGUUUCCCUAGGCGAUGUCAUCUUUCCUGUCUAAGCCAGCUCGGUCACCUCUAAUGUCCAAUUUUUAGUGAUGGAGGACUUAUCACCAUACAACACUAUUAUGGGACAGGUGUGACUGCACAAAAUGGAAGUCACCCAUCUACAUAUCAUCAAAUGGUGAGCUACCUCAUUGAAACUGGGCAAGUGGACUUGCUUGGUAGCUAACUGGCCACCCGACAAUGCUAUCAAGUGACUAUAGAAGCCAAACAAGUAGACUUAGUGUAGACCCUCCAUUUUAUCCUCUUAGCAGAUGUGACACUAGGUGUCUUCUCAUAUUUCUCUCUUGACUCGUUGUCAUCCCUUGGUGGCCCAUCGACGCUUAUAUAGUUUCAUUUUCUAAGCCACCUUCAGAGACCCUUUGUUAAGGGACUCAUUCGAACCCACAUUGUGACCUUGAUCACCCUUCGUCCUUAGGUUAGAUCCAACUUAGGUUCACCUAGACCCAUUCUGGUUCACAUGGGCCCGUUUAUGCUCACUUAGACACGCUUGACCCACUUGGGCCUACUUAGUUUUACUUGGCUCACCUGGGUCACCUUUUAGGCAUGUGUUGCAUGGCUUUCAUGACUUGUUUUCGUAUGGUUGCAUCAUUUUUAUUUUAUUUUAUUUAUUAUUAUUGUUAUUAUUAUUAUUUUCUAUAAAAAAAAUUUCUUACUCAUGUAGUCAAUUUAAUAAUUUGGUGAAAUGCUCCCAUUUGAUAUAAUAAUGUGGUAAACAUUUUUGUUUAAUUUAAAAUUUUUAUAAAAUAUUUUUAUUUAACCCAAUAGUUUUGUAAAAUUCUUUGAUUUAAUUUAAUAAUUUUGUAAAAUGCUCAUUUUUAGUCUAAAUAAUUUCAUAAAUUGCUUUUCUUUAAUUAGAAUACUUUUAGAAGAAAAAAAAAUACUUUUAUUUAAUUUAAUAAUGUUAAAAAUAUUUUUUUUUUAUUGAAACUAAUACUUUUGAAAAAUGCUUUUAUUAAUUUAAUAGUUCUGUAACACAUUUUUAUUUAGUUCAAUGAUGUAGUAAAAUGUCUUUAUUUAAUUUAACAAUUUCAUAUAUUGCUUUUCUUUAAUUUAAUAUUCUUGAAAAAUGAUGUUAUUUAGUAUGCUAAUUUUGUAAACUAUACGCGGAUGCAAGAUUUUUUUUUACCAACUAUGUUUAAUUAUCUUGAGGAGAAGGAAGAUUCAGGAAUUUUUGGGAAAACAAAACAGUAGCCCACUUGGGGAAGAGGAGGUUUGAGAAUGUGGGAGCAGCAACCCACAUUGGGAAGGUGAGAGAGGCUGGAUUUUUUUUUUUAGAAUUACAGAGUUUUUGCGUGGAAGUGGAGCAGGACCAUCGGGAAUGAGAGGUUGGUGGAUUAUGGAGGGGAUUCAAAAGGUUUUUUUAGGGAAAGCAGAGCAAGCAGAAGAGAGAUAUAAGAGAAGACAUUGAGAAACCUGAGGAAGAAAUGUUCUGUUUUUAGGUGGAGCUGAGGAAAAACCAAGAAGAAGAAGAAAAAAAAAAAGAGUUUUGGAACAGAGAGGUUCAAAUUUUUGGUAAAAAGAAAUGAAGCAGAAAAAGAUUUUUGUUGAAUCUCAAGAUGUAGUAGAAAGCUGGAGGCCCAACGAUACCUGCUGAAGAGGAGUGUCUGCAGAGGAAGAAAACUGAAAGGAAAAAGAAGGGAAAUGACGUUUGAAAGAGAAAGAAGGCUAGUCAUUUUAUCAACUAUAGGAGGGGAGCAUACUGAAGUAUGAUUGUGACAGAUUCAUCAUUAUUCUUCAUUAUCAUGUAAUUCUUCCUUUUCUCUUGCCAUUUAUGGGUAUUGUUGCUAUGGUCUGAAUAUGGAUAUCUUACAUGUUUGAUUUAUGUUGAUAUUUGGGAUGACAUGGUUUUCUUGUUAUUGUGCUAUUUACUAUUCUUCUUUAUUAUGUCAGAAAGCAACCUAACUCUGUUUCAUUUUACUGUGAAAUAUCUAAGAACCAUGUUUUUUAUUCUUAUCUGAACCUAUGAUCUCUCUCACUUGUUUUGGAAGCCCAUUGACAACCCAUGGAAUGGGACUACGUUUAAUGGAUCCUUUGGCUUGUUUGUUAUUACUUUGUUAUCGUUGCUAUCCCCUUAUGCAACUCAUCUGCUUCUAAACCCAUUUUUGGGCCCGUGAAGCUGGAACUUCCUUCACUCUGAUACUUGGAAACUGAGGCUAUCAUUUUUGUUGUCAUCUUCACUUGGAUCUAUCAAUGGUUUUAUUCAGUCUCCACCAUUUGGUGUAGUUACAGUUGAAAUACCUUUCACCAUAAGAUAGUGGCCAUGUAUAUGUGAACUUUCAUGGUUGAAUUUUGUAGAAAAAUCAUGGAGAAAAACGGUUGCAUUAAUGGAUAUUCAUGGUUGAAUUUUAAUGGCCAUGUUUGCUAAAUAUUAUGGAAAUUCAAGUGGAUAGUUGUUGAAAUUAUAAUGAAAGCAUGUUGAAAUUCAAUGAAAAUGGAACAUAUUGAUAUAUAAAUGUAUUGAAUUAAUGUGGCUGGUUGUGAUCAUGAUAACAAUCUGUGCUUCUUUUUCUUUAUUUUACCAUUUAAAGUGGAAGGAAAUUUAGUAUAGUUGCAUAGGUGAAUAUAAGUAAUCGAAAAAUUCAAAGGUGUGCAUAUGGAGAUCCUAUGGUUGUUUAAGUAAUAUUCUUAACCGAAUUGAGGAGGUUGCGUGGCUAAAAUUUGGUGUUGUUAAUGAAGAAUUAAAUGGCCAAAAAUUUAUGGUGAAAAUGCAAUGAAAGGAAAGACAGAUUUCGAUGGCUGCAUGUAUAUGAAUUUGGAGUCUGGUUCUGUGAUAAAUAAUAGAAAAUUCUGACGGCCUGGCACAAAUAUGUUUGCGGUUGCAUAUGUGUGUGUUCACGAUUGAAAUUCAAGUGAAGGUAUGCUAAGAUUUUAAAUGAUGUAAUCUGCUCAAAUUCAAGGAUUGGAUAUGGAGAUUUAAGGUUGAAAUUCAUGUCGCAUUGGUGAGUUUUAAUGGAGAAAGUGGUAGCAUGUGUGAAGUUUGUGGUCAAAAAUCAAUGGAGUAAGGUUUUGGUGGAUAAAUGAGGACAUAAGGCUACAUAGGUGUGUUGAAUCUCAGGGCUGAAUUUGUGGCUGUGGAUAGAAACUUUUUCAUGGCUGAAAAUAUGGUGAAGGACCAUUGAUAAGCGAGCUGAAAAUUAUGGUUGAAAGUUUGCUUUAAUUCAAAUGGAAAUAUAAUUGAAUUUUAAUAAAUUUGAAGGUUGCAUAGAUGAAAGUUGAUUGCUGAAAUUCUAGUGAAAUUAUUCAUGAUUUAGGCGUGGUCUUAAUGGAGAAUGAGGUUGAAAUUUUAAUAAAUGAGCAUGCUGUUGUUAAUGGAUGUAUAAGAGGCUGAUUUUAAUGGGUGAAUCAAUGGAGCUUUGUGCAACUAAAUCAUGGAAAAUUUAAGGGCUGAAAGUGGCAAUCAUGUAAUGGCUUAAACUAACCUCAAUGCAUGAGAUGAGUUCAUGCUAUAAUGUAUUAUUAGUGCCCGAAGUUUAAGUGUCUGCAUAUAGGUGAUUUCGAUGGCUAGAAAUUCAAUAAAAAUGAAGACUUUUUGGGUUGUAUAGAGGAGAUGAGUCAAACACAACUUGGAGAAUAUCAAGGCAUUAAUUGAAUUUUGGACACCUUGAGAGGAAUUAUCUAAUUGUCCCAAUUCUGAUUUAUCGUUCCACAUCUUCUUUAUUUAUUUCUUUUUAUCUCAUUAUUUUCUUUUGAAUACAUUAGAAUAGGUCGGGUGUGGACAAAUCGGGUCACACAUGAGUGUUGUUAGAUUUAACAUUUAGGAAUUCGUUUGAUUGAAUGUUGAUUGUUUGAUAAAUUAUGAUUGAGAUUAGGUUAUUUUUUCUUCAAACUCUUUUAUUUGAGUAAGCAUUGGAAAAUUGCUUGACAAUUGGCUUUGAAUAAAUGCAUUAAUUGGGUUUCAUGCCUCAAUGUUUGAUUGAUUUUCUCUAAUAAAAUGCAUGUUAAAUAUUUGAACUAACUUUGAUGAUCUUGUGAUAGCACUUAAGUUACGAUUCAGGUACGUAUACUAUCAUUCUUUAUUAUUGUGGUUUGAAUCCUUAUUUAGCAUGUUAGAAUUAGUAGAGUUUUUAAAAUCACCUUAACUUAUCAAGGUAUUCAUAAUCGACUUAUUAAUAGUCAUAUUUCCCUCAACUAAGCUAGUAGAGACCAUUUAGGGCUUAGUAGGGUGCUACCUCUUUGAAGGCACCUUCUUGAUAGGUAAUCUAAUCCCCGAACCUAGACUCAGGUUUUUCGCAGACAGCUUUUGCAAAAAAUCAAGAGUCCUUUUAGGGGUUUUGUUCUUAAUUGUUUUCCCCUUUAAAAAUAAAUAAAUAAAAGUAAGUGGCGAUUCCAAUUUUUUUUUUUUAUAAAACUCAGCUUUUCACUUUAAUAAAAAGGGAGUCUCACCAAUCAAGUGGGAACGCGUCGUGAAAAUUGUGGGUCCACACUUAGCUGGGGAUGAACUUGAAUCAUCAAGUGCAAAGAGUCAAUAACAAUUACAGUAGCAGGCAAAAAGAGGAUCAUCGGUUGCUGACCCUCUACUAUCUUUGACUUUAUCAGAUGAGGAAAGUCAUACAACCAAUGCUAGCUUUUUGCUAACAAUGGAGGAACGUAUCAACAUAGAAGCCUUCCUCCACCAAAAUGCAGAUAUCUUUGUCUAAAGUCACUUAGAUAUGUUAGGAAUUGACCCAUAUGUGUUUGCUCAUAAAUUGAAUAUUCUCCCCAACAUGUAUCUGGUAAGGCAAAAAGUCUGAAGCUUCUACUCGGAACGCCAAAAAAUAAUACAAACGAAAGUUGAUAAGCUGUUGGCCAUUGAAUUUAUCCGGGAAGUUGCCUAUCCAGAUUGGUUGGCCAACGUCAUCGUAGUUCCAAAAAUUGGAGGAACCUAGCGAGUGUGUGUGGACUAUACGAACUUAAAUGACAUUUGCUCGAGGGAUAGCUUCUCUUUGCCUUAGAUCUAUUAGAUUGUUGAUUCCAUGUCUGUAAAUGGAAUGCUUUCCUUUCUAGACACUUUCUCCAGUUACCAUCAAAUCCUUAUGUUCCAUCAUAAUCAAGAAAAAAAUAGUCUUUAUCACACUUUAUGGAUUGUAUUGCUAUAACAUCAUUCCUUUUGGGUUAAAAAAUGCAGGUGCAAUGUAUUAAAGGCUGAUGACAAAAAUCUUCAAACCUUUGAUGGGACGAACAGUGGAGGUAUACAUUGACGACUAUGUCAUUAGAAGUAAAACUUGUACAAAACACAUGCAACACUUGGAAUAAGCAUUUGCCCUAAUGCGGAAGUACAAUAUAAAACUUAACCCGCUUAAGUGUGCAUUUGGCAUCAGCAUCAGCAAAUUUAUUUGCUUUUUGGUGACUCAACGAGGAAUUGAAAUGAACUCGAACCAAGUGAAGGUCGUGCUUGAGACACUUGUUAUGUUCACUAAGAAGGAAAUGCAUUCUAACUAGUCAUUUUAUAGCCUUGAGCCAAUUUAUAGCCCAAUUCACUUAUAAGCUCCGUUUGUUCUUCAUUACUCUACAUGAAGCCCAAAAGUUUGGUUGGAUAGAGGAAUGCAAUAGUGCUUAUGAUGCAAUUUAGCAAUGCCUUACAGAAAGGAGAGGAACUAUACAUGUAUUUUGCUAUCUCAUACUAUGUAGUCAAUGUCAUCCUAAUAUGACAAGCCCAAGAGGACGGGCAAAAACCUGCCUACUACGUGAGUAAGGCAAUGGUAGACCCUGAGACCUGGUACUCUCAAGUAGAGCAUAUGGCACUAACAUUGCGUGUUGUUGCUAAAAAGCUCCAUUUGUAUUUCCAGGCAUAUCAAGUGACCAUCUUGACAAAUCAACCAUUGAAGGUCACCUUGCACAAGCUAGAUCUAUCUGGACAAAUGAUGAAAUGGGCUAUUAAGUUGAACAAAUAUGACAUACAAUACAAAUCAUGCUUGUCAUUUAAAUACUAGGUCAUCAUAGACUUUAUAGUCGAGUUAUCCCAAAAACGGGUGCAGAUUGACACUAUCAACUAUUGGUGGAUCUUGCAUAUAGACGAAGCAUCAGGAGUUGGAUUAGGGCUCAUAUUACUCUCUCAUACUAGGGAGAUGAUUAAGUAGUUCGCCCGCCUCAAUUUUCCCGUAUCUAAUAAUGAGGUUGAAUACGAGGCAAUUAUAGUUAGCCUCGAUCUUGCCUUGACACUUGCAGCAUCGAAGGUAGAAAUACAAAGUGACUCCCAAUUAGUGGUCGAGCAAAUCCAGCGAGAGUAUGAGGCCAUGAAUGAACGUAUGGCCCACUACCUCAGUAGAGUGGAAUCCCAUUUAGCUAAGUUGUCUGAUUGGAUAGUCAAACGUAUUCCUUGUAAAGAGAACGGAAAAACAGAUGCAUUUUCCGGAGUUGCCACUGUCCUACCCAUCAUUGAAUCUAUCAUGUUGUUAGUUUAUGUCCAACUCAUGCCUUCUAUUACUUCAAAACGGGUCCAUGAUGUGGCUCAUGUAGGUGUAGUAUGGAUGCACCCUAUUUUCAAUUAUCUCCACAGUGGUGAAGUUUUAGAGGACUGCAAACAAGCAUAUAAGCUUUGUAUUCAAGGUACUCGAUUUACUUUGAUCAAUGAUAAAUUGUAUAGAAGAGUCUUUGAGAACACAACCAAAAUAGGAGCUGGUAAGCGCCAGUCCCAUUAGGAAGGGCCUUAUGUUGUACACAAAAUGGGAGGAGUAGGAGCGUACCAUCUACAGACAUUAGACAAAACGCCACUACUCCGUCCUUGGAAUGUAGCAAAUUUGAAGAAAUACUAUCAAUAAGCAAGUUGUGCAUAAAUCAUGUUUGUACUUGAUUUUUGUGCGGCUAAACAAGCCAGAUUGCAAACAACUAAUAAGUCAGAUUGUAAAUGACAUGACCAGUAUGACCUGAGCCACAAAUUUAAAGAACAUCAAGGCAUAGCCUAAGCAGCACAAGCCUUAAAGCUCCCAUGGGAGAAAUGACAAAAGGCCUAAGAUACUUAAUGUUACUCAAGGCCGAAUGAAUAACUUGAGUCUAGCAAUGAAUAUGAUGGUGUAAUACACAGGCAAAUUUCACAAAACAUGAAAACCAAAUCAUGGAAACUCAUUGAAAAUUGUGUUCAUUUGUAUCACCAAAAAAGGGAAAGGCUAAAAGGCCAAUGUUUAUAUAAUUAAAAUACCUAAGUGGCCAAAAGAAGGGAAUAUAAAAGUGGCUUCAUCUUAAUAUUCACGGUCGAUUGCUGUAGAUCCAUUUCUCGCUCCUAAUCCGUCUUCUUGCCCUGCACCAACAUCCAACUUAGCUUUGUUUCCGUCGUUUGAUGGAAUGUUGGGUAUAUUAUCAGUAAUGUCAUGUUUCUUCAUACAACAUUGGGUAGUCGUAAAAGAACAUAUCAUCCACUUACUGUUGAUAUGCCACCUCCAACUCUUUCUUCUCCUUAGCAAAAUCGGACAUGGUUUACUUGAGUUCCUGCUUUAGUCGGGCAUUUUCUUCUUUAGCUUUGGUGCUAGAUGAUUCAGUAGUGGUCAUAUCCAAUUUCAGUUGGUGGAUCUCGGCCUAAAGCAUAUCAUUCUUCAUCUCAGCAUUCCUUAGUAAACCCACACCCUAAAUUGUCGUCUUCCAUGCAACGGCUUUAGCAGCUGGUAUAGUAUGUGCAUUAGGCAUAGAGUUGUCACCAGAUAUGGUGACCAUCUCUCCUAGCCCGUAGAAAGGAAUGUUUUCCGUGUCCUAUGCCUUAAGAGCAGGUGGAAACGAAGGAAUCAAUAUCGGUGAAGCAUUGGCAGCAAGCCUGGAGGACGAACCCUUUUUGCACGUUCUUUGUUUCUUUGACGAAGGCUCGAUUUCAAUGGCCUCGCCCAACCAUUUCUAUUGUCGCUUAUGGAAUCCAACUCAUAGAUUGGCAGUCAUUUCUUCAUUUUCCGCUUCUUCGACUAUAAGUGGCACAACUAGCUCGGUAGUUCACACCACUCAGUCUACUCUGCUCCGAAUGUUUUGUUCGGCUUGAUCACGGUCUCCUGAACUUGAGGCCAAACAAUAAUCUUUUUCUUUCCUGGUCGGGGAUAGGAUUUGAAGCCACUCGGGAAGUGGAACCAGGGGCUUGGCGUAAAGUCUCCUUUUGGCGUUUUUUCUCCCGAGUGUCUAAAUGAGCUUGUUUCGCCUCGUUGUCAGCAAGAUGGGAAACCUCGUAGAAAGGCAAGUCCUUCAUCACGAAGUGCUCGCCUAACACAAGGGUUGGUGGUGCUAGUCGUAAAAGAAAAGUGAUUACAAACGGCUUUGCUUAAGCAAAUACGAUCCUUAUGUUUUUUUCGGCAAGCAACACACCAUGACUCUAUUCAGACUAGUCAAUCUCAAAUAGUUUUUUAAGGCAGGUGAAUGACGACUUCUCUACCCACUCAACCAAGUGGCCCCGUCUUUAUUUGCUUGCACGGAUAGAGAACAUAUUAAUGAAGUCACAAUAAAGUGAAAGUAAGUAAUAGAUAAGUCCUAUGUGAGCUGUGAAAACAUUCAAUACUUGGAAUUUCUAGAGAACGUGUGGACUUAAAUAACUGUAGACCCUCAAUUUUGUCCUCCUAGCACAUGUUUUAUUAGAUACUUGUUCGAUAAUUUAUAGUUAGCUCCUUGGUGGCCCAUAUCUACUCAUACUACUUACCUUUUUUGAACCACCUUAGAGACUCUAGUUGAAGGAUUGCCUAACCCCUUAUUAUGACCUUGGCAGCCCUAAUUUAGACUUAGGCACUUUCCUGAACGCCUUAGGCCUAUUUAAGCAUUUUUUAAACCCGCUUUUUAUAUGACUUGCAUGAUUGCAUGGCUUAAAUGACUUGUGUGGCUUAUAUGGAUUUCUUUAUUAUUUUUCUUUUAUUUUAUUUUAUUUUAUCUUAUCACAAGUUUUCUAAAUCAUAUUUCUUGGCUUUUUGGGCAUGAGGAAACGGGCCGCCAUCUAUUUGGAAGGAGAAUCAACAGAAUUUUGAAAAAGAUGAUAUUUUGUUUUUAGAAGGAUAGCACAUAUAUUAUUUCCAUGGGAGAAUCGGUUAUAAAAGGGUAGAAAAUAAGAAAGGAAAGAGAUUUCCUUUUUUUGGAUCAGAGAAUUUUUAUUUUUGGAGGAGAGAGAUCUAAGACAAAGGAGGACUUUUUUCUUUGGCAGGAAGAUUUUUUUUCUUUUGGAGCAAAAAUUCACAUACAAAAGGCAAUAUUUUUUAAAGGAGAGGGACACACGCAAUUUCUUUUGGGGGAGCGGUAGAAGACCUGAAAGACUAAUUGGGCUGCCAUUUUGAAACAUCAAGAGAGUAUUUUUCCGAUACAAUACAGGUUAGUUUUCGAUUUUUGAUACCGUAUUUCUUUUUUUCUUUUUGGGUUUUAGUUGUUUGGUUUAAUUAAUUGUUUGUGAUAAAUUCUUUUAAAUCUCGAUUUCGAACAAUCUUUUAUUUUUCUUAGAUUAAAUGUCUCUCUUUUAUGAUUGCAAUUCAUUAGUUCUAUGCUAGUUUAUUUUUAAUUUACAUGAAAGUUUAAAUAAAGUUUAUAUUUUUAAUUCCGAUUAGUUAAAAUUCUAGUUUAUUUUUAAUUUGAAUGAGUUAUUGAUCUUAAAUCUAUUAGUUUAAUUGGACUUGUAAGGUAAAGUUUAUAUUUUUAAUUCCAAUUAGUUAAAAUUCUAGUUUAUUUUUUAAUUUGAAUGAGUUAUUGAUCUUAAAUCGAUUAGUUUAAUUGGACUUGUAAGGUAAAGUUUAUAUUUUUAAUUCCGAUUAGUUCAAAUUCUAGUUUAUUUUUAAUUUGAAUGAGUUAUUGAUCUUAAAUCUAUUAGUUUAAUUGGACUUGUAAGGUAAAGUUUAUAUUUUUAAUUCCUAUUAGUUUAAAUUCUAGUUUAUUUUUAAUUUGAAUAAGUUAUUGAUCUUAAAUCUAUUAGUUUAAUUGGACUUGUAAGGUAAAGUUUAUAUUUUUAAUUCCGAUUAGUUUAAAUUCUAGUUUAAUUUUUAAUUUGAAUGAGUUAUUGAUCUUAAAUCUAUUAGUUUAAUUGGACUUGUAAGGUAAAGUUUAUAUUUUUAAUUCCGAUUAGUUUAAAUUCUAGUUUAUUUUUAAUUUGAAUGUGUUAUCGAUCUUAAUUCUUUAGUUUAAUCGAUCUUGUGAGGUAAAGUUUACAUUUUUAAUUCCAAUUAGUCUAAUUCUAGUUAUUCAUGUGUUUCUUGAAAUUUAAAUGUUAGUUUUUGGAUGAUAAUUUUGUUAGUUUGUUUGAUUAGAAAGUCAUAAAUUUGUUGCCUUAGUGAUUGUUGGUCAAAUAUUUUUUUGAGGGCCGCUGGAAACCCAUGAAGGUUGGCCUUUACUCUCACCACUUUAACUGACAAGAUUUUCUAAAAUUUUUAUUUCGUGAUCUUUGUUUCCUUUUGUUUUGAUUGAUAUUUUGUUUUCUAUUUUUGUUAUUUUAAAAAUUAAUUUUUUUUAUUUUAAAACAAAACUCUUUUUCUCAAAAAAAUCGUUUUUAAAUUUUUUUUAUUAUUAUUCAUUUAAAGCCUUUAGAAUCAAAAUCUAUUUUCUUUUUAAAAAAUAAUAUGCAAACAUAUCUUAAUCGGUUUGCAUCCUUCUCAAUUUUCAACAAAAAUUUUGGUUUUAAACAAAACGCGAAUCAAAGCUUGUGGUCCCAAAUAAAUGGGACAAUUUUAAGCUAAAUUCGUAUAUAUUAAUUUGGGGAAUUGGUGAAACCCCUACAUAAGAAAUUUUUUUCAAAAUUUACUUUUGCUACCACCCUGCUAUUUAUCGUAAUCAUAUUUACAUUUUUCUUUUUAGGAAUUGUAUACAAGAUAUGUAUGAUAAUUAAUUAUUCCGAAUUCUGAUAAUUUUUGCUAAUUAAUUAGAUAAGCAUGCUAGGAUUUAUUAUUUAUUAUUUAUUAUCUAACCCCCAUGUCCUGAGGAAGCAUAUUAGGAGUUAUAUAUGCUAUCUAGGUACGUUCCCAAAAUUUCAUGAAUAUGCAUGUCAUUGCCCUUGUUUGAUGCCAUACUUGAUUGCCUCGAUGCUUGUUUGAUCAUCCUUGAUAAAAUGCAUGUCGUGUGUCAUAUUUCUGAAUUAACCAUUGAUGUUUUAUGAUAGUGCUUAAGAAGUGGUUCAGGUACGCACCCUAACUCUCCUUUAUUGUGAUUGAUCUCCUUAUUUAGCAUGCUACUUUCUGAAAAUCACCUAGCUUACUUAGGUAUCUACAAUUAAUCAAUUAAUUGCCCCAUUUCCCCAAUUUAGUCAGUAAAGACCUCUUUAGGGCUUAGAAGGGUGCUACCUCUUAGAGGUACCUUCCCAAUAAGUAACCUGAUCCCCGGACCUAGACUCAGGUUUUUCAAAGAUAUGUUUUUUCCAAAAAUUAUGGAGUCACAUUUUAGGGUUUUUCUUUCUUGUUUUAUUUUCCCUUUAAAAUAAAAAUAAAAUAAGUGGCGGCUCCAACUUUUCCAAAACUAAAUAAUUUUUCACAAAUAAAAAGAGAAUCUCGCCGAUCGAGUGGGGACGCACGUGAAAAAUGCGGGUCCACAAUAACCUAUCCAGACUUUAAGUUGAUCUGUUCCAUGGACCAAACACCAACACAUGUCCUUUGUCCAAACCCUUACUAAAGUUUGGCAGUCCAGUUAUGAAUUGCAAAGAGAGGAUGUGAGUCGACAGACUAAAGCAUUCAUUGCGGCUCAUCUUUAUUGUGCAGACGACCAACACCUCCAAUAAGGACAAGUCCAGCUGAUAUAAGGUGUCUAGCACACUACAUCCCAUCAAAAUUUGGAUGACGUUAGGAUUGAUGAAGAUAAGAGGGAUUCAAGAUAAAUGCAAGAAUUGUUUCACCAAUGAGGGAAUGGGCAGGCGGAGUCUCGUUGCAAACUAUUCUUUGGUGAAAUAGAUCAUAUUGUUAGGAAGCCUGUCUAUAGACAAAGCCUCUUCAUAUGAUAAUAGGAUAGAAAUAGAAUCCGGAAUGUAGCAGCAAGAACAGAAUUCCUGCUCGGACAACUCGCCAAUUAGAUGCCUCGAUAGAGAACGACCAGACCAUGAUGACUUAGCCCUGCCGCAUUGAGUUCUAUCGCUUGUAGAUGCGACCACACUUCUGUCCAUAUUUGCAAAUGGAAAAAAGGUUGAAUAAACACCUACAUGAUAGAAGUGUUAACUAGUUAACACAGGGACCCCUAUAAUGACACUUAACCAAAAGCUACACUCAUCACACAAAUCCUACCCUAAACGGCUUGACACAAAACUUGUUGGGCAAGUCAUGUUUAUACAGUGUCCAUGGUCUCAAGCCAUGACCUCACUUAAGCCCAGAAACGCUAUAUAACUCUCAAAAUGACAGUAAAAGGCAAACAUAAACUCCAAAUCCAUAAUCGGAUUGAUAUAAGAACAGAUUUCAGCAAAAACAUAUGGAACGCGCAAACAAAAACCAUGGAGAAAGUGCAUUCAUCAAUGAAGAAAAAAACCAUAAAAAUAGAUAUUGAAGAGGAACUCAAUACCUAGUAAACUGCGUUGUGGUUGAAUCAAAAUCAAAAGACCUGAAGCAUCUUCAAUGGAGAGAAGAAAAUUACCGAAAAGUAACAGUAGAAAUGAAAUGAACCAUCUACCUAAAAACAACCAACCUAUAUAAGGGUAUGACUGCAAAAAAUCACGGCGUCCGAAGGGGUGCGCCGCCUGACACCACACCUUGAUUGAUGUAACCCAUUAACGAAUGAGCAUGUCCCAUGUGGAUUUUAGGCAUCAUUCUUUCAAAAUCUCCAAAAGUCACAACUCUUGCAUUUGACCGUCUGACGUCUACUCAGGCCUAACUACAAGACUUGGGGGGCAUUGUGGGGGUCCCUCUCUACAAGGUCAUCCUUAAGUCCACCACUCUCUUAUAGUCGUUUAGCUAGAGGGUGCCAUAUGAGAAACUGCUCUCUGCUAGAUGGCCUUACGACCCUACGACCGGGUGACUGAUCCGUCUCAAAGUAGGUCAGAUGAUUACAUCCUACACGGGUACAGCAUGACUAAAGCAUGAUCGUCUAUCAUGCAUUUACACACCCAUUAAUGUGCAAAUUGUGUGCCUGACAUGCUCCAUAUUAACUACGGUUGUCAUGGGAAACAUUACAUUCUCAAUGGCUCAUCAUGGUGAGACAACCGUUAUGCAUUGGCAAUCAAUGCCAUCAGAUUGCACAAUCAAGCGCAAUUAAGGUGCUAUUAAGAUACCUAGUAAGACGUUACACCGCACAAGGUAUAAAUAAUCAUGCAGACACUACUAAGAAAGGGGGAACUUUCUUUCUAAAAAAGAAUUUAACUUGCUUAAGUCAUUUAUUGACUUUAGCAUCGAAGGGGCGUGCCUGGACAAACCAUCCAGACAACCUUUGUGUAGGGAUUAUAGUCGUCUACAUCUUGAAAAGCUUAAACAAAAUUGUUGGUCAUCUCUUUCAUCCAACUCGUGGCAAUUAGAUGAGACCACUCGUUCGGAUCAUGUUACAACAAACACCUCAUUGACCAUACUAGUAUUGCAGCAUGCCAAAUUCAAUGAACUUUCACAAGCACCAUUUGGGGACUAGGAUUAAAAUGAGAGACCAAAAAAAGAGCCUCUCAUAAAUGGCAUCAAGUCAUUAUCUAAAAUGAUCAUAUGGCUCAUAAAUGUGAGAUUGCCCUACAACUUUCAAAAGAUCACAUCCACCAUAUAUAAUAGACUUACAUGUAAUUUAUAGAAAGCAUUCAGAUCUAACUUGCACAAUUUCAACGGAUGAUGGAAGUGAUGGUGUCAUAAAUUAAUCUAGAAUACCUGUAUAUUGUGAACAAUUCAUGGAGGUAGCCAACCAGCUCAACUUGGAAUAUGCUCUAUUUCAGACAUGGUUUGAAAUGUCAUAAAAUUUUGGUGAAAUAUUGUUAAUAUUUCACUUAUUGAGUAGAGUCAACAUGAUAUUCCACACCGAAAUUCAAUCAGCAAAUUUUAUGAUGAGUGAUUAUUCAAAAACAUCACCAAAAUAUUGGCUUUUUUGUCAAUUUUUCAGGAAGUCAAUGUGGUCAACGCAUAGGUCAACUCCUUCAAAUUAUUUGUCACGGGAGCCAUAAGGAUUCGAACCCAAGCCUUUUCAACUCCUUCAAGUUUUUUGAGGGAUUUGAACCUAAACCUAAAGGCUUAGGUUGAAGCUUGGCUACCACUAGGCUAAAUCAUUAUGAAAAAUGUAGAUAUGUUAAAUUUCAUUAUUAAUAGAAUAAAUGAAUUAAUUCUAAUUAUUUUAUUUUAAAUUUUAUUUAAUUGAUUAAUAAAAAUAUAAAAACCAUCAUUAUAAUUUUCUUAACAAGUAUUUUUUUUUUUUAUAUCCCUGCUUAUCAUGUUUUUCUCCUUGAUCAUACUUAUAUCAAUUACACUUACAAAAUAACUUUAAUAUGUGUAUUUUUGCUUAUUUUAUUAUUUUUCUUUUUAAUUUUCCAAACAUUUUCAUGAAUUUUGAAUAAUUUUCAUCUCAUCGAUAUUUUUAUCAAAAUAUUCACCAAUAUUUCUGAUAUACCUAUAAAAUCCAAGUAUCGCAUUCACCAAUAUUUCAAACCAAGAUUCUAGAUAAUGUCUAACUCAAGAAUAAAACAAAUAUGAUGGAAAUCUGACCAUAAGACCGAUUCAUGUCGGGACAUUAUUGAAUUAAGACCUCGUAGAUGAGUUCAGAGUGAGGCCAUAUAUUGCAAGGAUAUUUUAGAAGGAAAAUCCAGCUUUGUGUCAUGCUACUCUUGGAAGAGUGAGUGGUGGACUCUAGUAGAGAAUUGGAAGUUUCUGCCCUUACUAAUGGACUGACUUCUACACAACUAGAUUAAUUAAUUCAUAAACAGUGGUUGUGUUGGCUGAGAAAUGUCAUGGUUGUCAGUUAGCAUUUUGAAAGUUACCCCUAAGCUAUGGAUCAACAACACUUCACACAGUCGCCCAAAUCUUAAAAAGGUAAAUUUAAUGAGAGUAAACUGAAGAAUUUGAGGAGAAUAUUAAUCACUAGAACAUAAAUACAUAGCACAAGAAGCGACACCAUUUGAAGGACAAAAACCGAAUCUCAUGUGAAAUAAUUGUUCAUCUUUCCACAAACAACUUCAGUAAGAAAACCACCAAACUAUGGAUGUUUGUCCACAUUCUCAGUCAAUUUUCCCCAAGACACAUUUUGAAGCCACGUGACAUCUAAAGAUAUAUAUGGAUUUGGUUAAUCCUACUAGUUUUUUUUAUGAAGUGGUCUAUGUGUCAUUUACGUUUUUAAAUAUCAAUUAUGGUUUAUUAAAUAAUUAAUAUUAACUAAAAUCCUAUUAGUCAGUAAUUUUGAGAAAAAAUUUGACAACUAACUACUCAUUUUGAUGAAGAGUCAAAUAAUGAGUAUAUUUAGAAGAAAAAAACUAGUACUCCUACCUAGAAACAAAUAUUACUCUUUCUUUUUCCAUCUACAAAUCAUUGGUCAAAUUUAAGGGGUCAAGAGAGAGAAACACAAUUUUCUUCUACACUUUGAUUUUUCUUCGAUGAAUCACUCACGGAUCAAGAUACACAUUCCCUUGAUUUUGUGCUAUGAAAAUUAUAUUAUUCUUCAAUCUUUGAGUAUUAUGAUUUAAAUAAAAGUUAUGGUUUUGUUUUGCAUUAUGAGAAUUGAAAAAUUCCUAACAUUUUGCAUCAGAGCCUAUGAUUUAAGAACUUAUAAUAUGUUAGGGUGAAUUCACAAGAUUCCAAUAAACACCAGGAUUUUUCUACCAUUUCUUUGUGUAAAAUUAAAUAGGUAAUAGCAACUAGUAGUAAUAAAUAAAUAAACUCAUGCAAUGGAAAAAUAAAUCAGACACCAGAAUUUUUACGUGGAAAACCCCCCAAUGCAAAGGAAAAAACCACGGGACCUAGUCCAAUUCAAACUUCCACUAUCAACAAUAAUGGGUUACACCUUUCUUCUCUAGAAUAAUCUUUAGAUGCUACCAAAUACAUCAAGAGCACAUAUAGCCUUGGAUUAUAUAAUCUCUCUUGGCAAAAAAAACAAGGAAAAUUGAAGAAAGAAUACCCCAAAACACGUUGUUAUUGUUCAUGGCCAGUAACACUAGUUGCUGAGCUCAAAAUAUGAUCUCUACCGUUCAAAUUGUAGCUACUCAAGUUUUGAAUCUCUCCUCCAAAUUUCAACUCGAUCAGACCACAGAUGAAGUGGGAUCGGCUCUUUGGUGAAAUCUAGGCAGUGAGAUGUGUUUUUCCUUUCUCUUUUCUCUUCUCUCUGUUUUUCCUUUUUCCAAUCUCUUUUUGUUUUUGUUUUUUUUUUAUUAUUGUAAUUGACUUGAGUCCCAAGCAUAUGGGGCCCAUUCUCUCACAUACUAGGGAGCCCAACAAAUCUUCCCUUCUAGACUAUGUGAGGGGUUCUACCAAGCCCGCUUGCUUUCUAUAGAAUUAUAGCUUUUCUGUAGGUAUUGGUUUUGUCAUCAUAUCUAAUCCAUUCUCAUCAGUAUGGAUUUUCUCAAGGCAAAACAAUUUCAUCUCUAAUGCAUCACAAAUCCAAUGAUAUCUCACAUCAAUCUGCUUGGAUCUAGAGUGAAAAGUUGGAUUCUUCCUGAGAUGAGUAGCACUUUGACUAUCACAGUAGAGUAGAUGCCUUUCUUGUUGUAAACUCAAUUCUUAUAGGAAAUUCUUCACUAGCUUCAAUGAUAGCAAUCUACUCAGCCUCUAUAGUCGACAAAGCAACACAUUUCUACAACCUUGAUUGUCAUGACACUAUUCCCCCUGAAAAAGUGAUCAAAUAACCAGAAGUAGACUUUUUGGAAUCAACAUCCAUAACCAUAUCUGCAUUUAUGCAUCCUACAAGCAUAGGUUUGUCAGUCCCAAAACAUAAACAUGUCUUAGAAAUACCCCUCAGAUACCUAAAAAUCCAUUUCACUGCGGCCCAGUGUUCUUUGCCAGAAUUAGAAAGGAACCUGCUAACAACUCCAAUAGCAUGAGCAAUAUCAGGCCUCGUGCAUACCAUGGCAUACAUCAAACUACUCAUGGCUGAUGCAUAAGGCACCUUUCGCAUUUCUUCUAUUUUUUUCUCACUUGAAGGAAUUUGUUUGGAACUUAGCUUUAGAUGACUUCGAAGUGGAGAACUCACUGGUUUUGCCUUGCCCAUGUUGAACUUAUCUAAAACCUUCUCAAUAUAGCUUUCUUGAGAUAGCCACAAUUUUUCAUUCGUCCUAUCUCGAGAAAUCUUUAUACCAAGAAUUUGACUUGCUCAACUCUUUUUUCAGUUUAUCGAUUUUACCAGUAUCACGACCAACAAUCAGCAUGUCAUCCAUAUAUAGCAAGAGAAUAAUAAAUUUUCCGUCAGAGAAUUUCUUCACAAACACACAAUGGUCAGAAGCAAUUCUAUCAUAUCAAUACUCAACCAUGAAAGAAUCAAACUUCUUGUACCACUGUCUCAGUGCCUGCUUGAUACUAUACAAGCUCUUCUUCAGUCGAGAUAGUAAGUGUUCCUUGCCUUUGAUUAUAAACCCUUCUGGUUGCUCCAUAUAUAUUUCCUCCUCUAAGUCACCAUGGAGGAAAGCAGUCUUCACAUCAAGCUGUUCAAUCUCUAAAUUCAUACUGGCAAUCAAACCUAACACAACUCAGAUCGAAGAUAUCUUAACCACGGGUGAGAAAAUCUCUUCAAAGCCAAUGUCUUUCUUAUAACCAAAACCUUUCACAACAAAUCUUGCCUUGUACCUUGGCUAUGAUCUGUUUGGUUCAGGAUUCCUUUUCAGUACCCAUUUAUUCUUCAAUGCUCUCUUACCCUUAGGCAACUCCAUCAAUUCAUAAGUGUUGUUCUUAUGCAAGGAUUUCAUCUCUUCAUGCAUAACUCUCAACCACUCUUUUUUCUCAUCAUGCAGUAGAACCUCUUGAUAAUUUUUUGGAUCUCUCCCAUCAAAAAACAAAAAAUACUCAUCACUAGUAUACCUUUUGGAAGGUUGACGCUUUCUAGUAGAUCCUCUUAAUUAUGUUUCAGUAGGCAACUCUGAAGUAGCUUAUCCUUACUGCUAUUCUAGGUCAUCAUUCUCAUUUAUAGGAUUUUCUUCUACAUCAUCAACAACAGACUCAUCAUUUCUGUCAACUAUAUCAACCUAUUCUUCUUGCACAACUUCUUUAUGUUUAUUAUGUCCCAUAGAGUUAGGAAAGACUUGACCCAAAUCAACCUAUUCUUCACUGAAAGGCUUUGGCUUCUUAAUCUGAUCCAAGUCUUCAAUGGUUUGAUCUUCAAAGAAGACAACAUCUCUACUUCUUAUAAUCUUUUUGGCAGUUAGAUCCCAUAACUUGUACCCAAACUCUUCAUUUGAAUAACCCAAGAAGAUACACUGUUUAGUCUUGCUGUCAAGCUUGGACCGCUCGUCUCUAGGAACAUGAACAAAUGUCUUGCAACCAAAAACUCUCAAGUACUCAAAGGAAACAAAUUUUCCUGUCCAAACUCUCUUUGGAAUAUCACCCUUUAAAGGAUAUGAUGGAGACAAAUUAAUCAAAUCAACGGUUGUCCUCAUGGCCUCACCCCAAAAAGACUUAGGCAAUUUUUCAUGAGAAAGCAUACACCUGAUUCUAUCAUAGAUGGUUCUAUUCAUUCUCUCAACUACACUAUUUUGCUGCAGGGUCUUAGGAACAAUCUUCUCAAGCCUAAUUUCAUGACUUCUAUAGUAUUGCUCAAAUGGCCCCUUAUAUUCACCAUCAUUGUCUACUCUGACAGAUUUUAACUGCUUUCCAAUUUGCCUCUCAACUUUCACAUGAAAAUCUUUGAAUACAUCAAGUACCUGGUCUUUGGAUUUCAAAGCAUAUGCCCACACCUUUCUUGAAUGAUCAUCAAUAAAAGUCACAUAAUAAAGUGUGCCACCAAGAGUAUUACUUUGCAUAGUAUAAACAUCAGUGUGAACUAAAUCAAGAAUAUAUGGUUUUCUACGUGAAGGAAAUCUACAAAAUGCAACUCAACUUUGCUUUCCAGACAGACAAUGUGUACAAGGUAAUAGUGACGUACUUUUAACUGGUAGAAGCUUCUUUUUAGCAAGAACCUGAAGUCCCUUUUCACUCAUGUGACCAAGUCGCUUAUGCCAUAACUCAGUAGAGGCUUCAUUCUCAACAAUGUUGACCUCUCCCUUGACUAGUCUUGCUUCUGUGUUGUAGAGGGUAUUAUUUAUCUUCCCCCUAGCAAAAACAAGAGAACCCUUAGUAAGCUUCCACUUGCCCUCUCCAAGGUGACUAUGGUAGCGCUCAUCAUCAAGCUUCCCAACAAAGAUCAAACUAAAGCGCAUUUUAGGAACAUAUCUAACAUUUUUCAGAACCAAUUUGCACCCAAUGCUAGUUUCUAGCUCUAUAUCUCCCAUGCCAACAAUUUCACAUUUUGCUUCAUUACACAUCUUAACCCAACCAAAUCUGCCACUGUUGUAGGAAGAGAAGAAAUCUCUACAUGUAGUGAUAUGAAAUGACGCAGUUGUAUCAACCACUUAAGUGGAAUCCUGGCAUGCAAGGUUUACACACGCAUCAUCACUAACAAUGAUCAUAUCACCAUUAGAUGCAACUACUGCAAUGUCUUUGUCCUCUUUCUAUUCUUCACAUUUUCCUUUAAACUGUUCUCUUCUGAAUUUUCUACACUCUCUCUUAAUGUGCCAUGGCUUGUCACAAUAAAAACAUUUUAUCUCUUUUCAAGACUUUGACUUUCUUCUUGACUUGUCACGAUUAUAAUCACUGGAAGGUUUUUUUAUUUUACUUCUCCCCCACCUCUUUGUAACAAGUGCUUUUGUAUUAGAGGAAAUACCUAACUCUUUUCUUCUUGCCUCUUCAUUAAACAUGCUGUCUUUUACCAUGUUGACAAUUAUCACACCAUUUGGAGUUGAAUUACUCAAGGAUACCACCAAAGUUUCCCAACUGUCUGGUAAGGAACUCAACAAAAGUAAAGUCUGUACCUCAUCAUCUAGCUCAAGCUUCAUGGUAGACAACUCAUUCAACAAUCCUUGAAAAUUACUGAGAUGCUCUGCAACACUAUUGCCAUCCUUGUACUUUUAAUUCACAAGUCUUCUUAUCAUAAAGGCUUUGUUAUGUGCAGUCUUUCUCUCAUAAAGACUUUCUAAUUUUUGCCAAAGGCUAUAUACAUCAACUUCCUUGGCUACAUGAUGGAAGACAUUGUGAUCAACCCACUACCUAAUCUGUCCAAUGGUUUUCCUAUUUAAUUUCUUCCACUCAUCCUCAGUUGUAGUAACUGACUUAUAACCCCUGCAUUCAAUGGGCUCAAACAACUCUUUGCAAUAUAGAAUAUCCUCCAUCCUAGUCUUCUAAAUUGAAUAAUUGAAAGUUGUGAGUUUAAUCAUUCCACUACCAGCCUCCUCCAUUUAAUUCACACAAGAGAUCCCACUGCUAAUCAACUUGGCUCUAAUACCACUUGUUAGGGUGAAUUCACAAUAUUCUAAUAAAUACCAGGAUUUUUCUACCAUUUCUUUGUGUAAAAUUAAAUAGGUAAUAGCAACUAGCAGUAAUCAAUAAAUAAACUCAUGCAACGGAAAAAUAAAUUAGAUACCAAAAUUUUUACGUGGAAAACCCCCCAAUGCGAAGGGAAAAACCACGGGACCUAGUCCAGUUCAAACUUCCACUAUCAACAAUAAUGGGUUACACCUGUCUUCUCUAAAAUAAUCUCUAGAGGCUACCAAAUACAUCAAGAGCAUAUAUAGCCUUGGAUUAUAUAAUCUCUCUUGGAAAAAUAAAAAUAAAAAAAAUUGGAGAAAGAAUACCUAAAAACACAUUGUUACUGUUCACGGGCAGUAACACUAGUUCCCGAGCUCAAAAUCUGAUCUUCACCGUUCAGAUUGUAGCUACUUGAGUUUUGAACCUCUCCUCCAAAUUUCAACUCGAUCGGACCACAGAUGAAGCAGGAUCGACUCUUUGAUGAAAUCUAGGCAGUGAGAUGUGUUUUUCCUUUCUCUCUUCUCUUCUCUCUGUUUUUCUUUUUUCUAAUCUCUUUUUGUUUUUUUUAAAAUUUUUUAUUAUUAUUGUAACGGACUUAGGCCCCAAGCAUAUGGGGCCCACUCACUCACAUACAAGGGAGCCCAACAUAAUAUUCCUUUAAAGAUUUAAAAUCCAGAUAAUUUUUUAUUUUUGUAAAAAAACAACCAAUAUGUUACUUUUUCUACUGUUUGGUUUUUUUUUAAUUCAAUAAAAAAUUUGUAAUAAGUAGUAAAAAAAAAUAGAAAAACAAACAACUUAAAGUCUGAAUACAAAUUACUUUCAGUAAAAAGUAAAAAAAAAAAACAAACACCCUCAUAAACUAAUCACGAGAUUGUUAAUUUGUACUAAGAUCUCAUUUCUUUGUAAUAGAGAUAUAGUACCUUUUUAGACAUUCAUUCAAUUAUCUACAUAUAGCCAUACUUCAAUGAUCCGGAUUUUGAAUUUAUCAUGGUACCAAUUUUGUAUCUUAGAAUUUCUGUUACCAUUAAUCUAGUACUUUUCAAAAACCCUUUAGUUAUAGCAUAUUGUAGGCAUAUCAUACCAUAAUAUUAUAGCAUAAAAGACUUUAAAUUCUAUUUUCAUAAUCGGUUUUAUUAUAUCAUUUUCUCAGGUAAAACUGACAAUGAAAGUCACUUGAGAUUUUAUUAUAAUAUCAUAUAGACCGCAGAUCAAACCAAACGCACAAGGCCAACACGAGCCCAUAGUACGGGCCAGCUCAUACAGAAGUGUCAUUUUCCAGGCACACCCACAAAGUUGAAAAGGAGAGAUGGUUUCACCCAUCACUACUACUCAGUACUCUACACAUAUAUGUUUGAAAGCUCUCACACUCGCUAAUUAACAAUGCUUAGUGCAGAAGCAUCGACGACGAAAGCCACGGCAAUUUCCUCCAUGGAAACCCUCGGUCUGGCAAACAGCAGCACAGUUGCUCUGCCUGACACACGUUCCCUUGAACCGGUGGCUCUGACUCUCACAGGUCCUAGCCUCAGCCACCAUCGGGCCCAUCUCUGCCAAAAUACACAUUGAGAAAUCACAGGACUUUGUUUCAGUAGAAGAUAUAGUAUUCGAUACCCUUAAAAGAACAAUUCCUAAUGAUUAUGUUAUUGAUUCCCACAGAAGACACAUCUUUGUUAAUUUCAUACUAAUGGCAGCUGGAGAUCUAUGGGCAGGAAUUCAAAUCUUGAGAGUUUUAUUAUUAUCAUCAAUCUCCAGUUAAACACAAAAUUUGCUAUAGGAUUUGCUAUAUCUGCCAGAUAUUGUGAUAAUAAAAUUUCAAAACCUUGAUGAGGACUCAAAACUCUAGGAAAUUGUUGGUGUAAAUUAACAUAAGAACAAAAAUCUUUAAUAAAACCCAGGCAUGCAAAUGAAAUUGCUAGGCAAAAUGGCUUAAACCAUGGCUGUGAAUGGACUUCAUUAGGGCUGUACCCAGAAUAUAUGCAUGUCACAAAAUGAUAAAAUGUUCUAAACAUUGUGCAUGAACCCUCAAAAGGAAAACAGAGAAGAGAUAAGAAUUAACCAGUAGCCAUGAAGAGGAGAAUCACAAGGAGAAAAGCUGAAAACAAACGUUGAGAGCCCUUCAUCUUUUGCUUUUGUAUGAGAAGACAGGAGAUAAAGAUGGAAAUGGGGUGAGGAGAACAGCCCGAGGAGGUCUUUAUAUAAGGGUCUGGAACGCUCUAGCUUUGGGACAACCCCACAUGUGUUCACAUUGGCCAUAUCUAUAUGUAUAGCAACGAAAGAUCGAGAAAAAUGUGGAAAGGUUCGCUCUUAUGAAUCAGGCCUAGUCACUCCGCACUAAUGCCACUUUUAUGUUCUUUUGAAAUCCAUUCAUUUGAUCUGUCUUUCAGCUUUCUGUCAACAUCCUCUGGCAUUGCUUUGUACUGAUCUGUCUUUAUGUUUUAUUGGACUGCUUUGUACACAUGCUUUAUGCUAAAUAAUUUUUCUGCUUAAAAUAAAAAAAUAAAAAAAAAUAAAAUAAUAAACUUUAAUUUUCCAAACAUAUUGACAAUUGCUUGAGAAAUGUUUAAAAGUGAAAUAAUUGAAAAUUAAGGAUGAAAGUGAAAAAAAAAAAUGUAAGAUGAAGAAAUCAAUGGUCAAUCCUCUCGAUAAUAAUAUGAAGAAAAUAGACUAGGGUUGAGGAGUAGAAGUUUAUAUUAGGAUCAUUGAAUUGUCUAACCUUUACACGAGUAAAAACAAUUAUCAUUCAUAAAAAAAGGUUUAACAAAUAUCAUAAAAUCGGUCAUUUAAUUUUUAAAUCUCCAAGGGAAAUAAAAAACAAUAACAAAAGAAAUGAAAUAAAAUAAAAGUUUUAGUAUCUCAAAACUUUCUUUUACUUACCCUUUUAUAUAACAUUUCCUUUUAGCUCUUUUAAACAUAUAAAUUUUUAAAAUUCAUAGAUUUUGUGAUCAUCAUGUUGAUCAAACUCUCUUCCAUAUUUCUUAGUUUCUAAUACUGCAAUCCUUGAUAAUAAAUAAAUGGGAACAAAUUUUGUUUAUUUAAUUUCAAGCUACUUUAGUGUUGAUUUAAUGUUGAUGUAGGUAUACAUUAGAUGUAUUAGAGCAUUAGAAACGACUUCAAGUAUUAAUUAAAAGCAGAGAACGUCGAAAAAUGGAGUCAAACACAUGAAAAUAUGAAUGGACAUUCAAACAUCAUGAACAAGGAUGUCAAAAAAUGGAAUCAAACAUGUGAAAAUAUUAAUGGAUUUCGAACACCAUGAACAAGGACAUCAAAAAAUGGAGUCAAACAUCAUGAACGAGAACAUUCAAACAUCCAUACAACGUAAUAUCUAUUGGGAUAAAGUUCUUAAAAGCAUAAUAUGAUAUAAUAAUAAAUGGAUUUCAUUAAUAUUUAUAUUAUGAUUCUCAUUUUUACUUUCACUAUCCUAUUUAUAAAUUGUGUAUGAUAAGCAUUCAAGCAUGGAUUAGUUGUAUUAUACAUGACUUGGGUACAUUAGUAGUUACAUAGAAAAUCCAAGUCAUGAGUUCCUUAUAAGUAGACAAGUUGUUUACAUAUAGUUCAUGGACUUGGACAAUUCAUCUAAUGUUAUAGAAUACUACCUCAUAAUUAGAAUGAUGGCUUAUCUUGAUCAUCAGAAUAAAUUUCUCAUGGUCAGUACACUAAUGUGUAUGAUUACAAAUUGGAUAGCAACUAUGGUGAAUUAUGACAUAGAUUAUCAAGUAGUCAUGAUUUACUAAACUACUAUACUACAUAAACUCUUAACCUUGAGACAAUAUCGAGCUAGUGUUACAAUCUUCAAUGGCUUUGACCAAUGGGUAAGAGAUUAAAGUAGUCAUAUAUUCCCUAUUGAUUUAGUCACUAUUGAUUAAGGCAUGUGACAAGAGGUAUUCUCAAGAUACGCACCAUGAUAUUUCAUGAGUUUGAUACAGUGUGUCCCUUUAGUUGAUUCUAAGGAUAUGUGUUCAUUAAUCUAUGGUUAUAGUAAUUUCUUAAAUAUAACUUAAUAUAUGCUCUUAGAGAGUUAGAGUAUAUUAGUUGAUGAUAUUAUAGGAGGAUUUGAUACUCAAUGAUGCUAGAAGUAAUCUUAAGAGGUUGAUAGCAUUCACCUUGUUAAACCAUAAACUUAAUUCAUAGGAAGCUUACAUGCAAUCUUAGUAUGUCACAGACCUGAGUUUUUUUAUCUUAAUCUAAUAUCAUGGGAUAUUAAAGUGCAAUUGACUUUCUAUUGUGAGAUAUUCAAUCAACUUCAAAUUGGACUUUAAGAGAACUAAUAUUUUCUUAUGUGUCUCAAUGGUCCCAACUCAAGCACAUAUUCUUAGGUGGCUCAUUAUUUGAGGGAUAUUUAGGCUUUUUAUUCAUAUGUGUACAUAAGGAUGUUUGGUAAAUAUGUAAGGUUACAUAAGAGCUUAUGAAUGGUUUUUCUAGAUUAAGCUAAAUAAUUAAUUUGAACCCAAUAGGGUUAAUCAAUUACUUAGGACCAAAUAAGUUAGAUUAAGUAACUCAAUCCUAAGAUAAGCUCAAGAAAUUUAAGGGCACAAGCAAGCCUAUAUAAACCUUCUUAAGGGUUUAGGGUUAAGAGUUUUAUCAUUCACUCUUCCAAAAAGAGGAAUUCUAGCCUUCAUCCCCACAGAGAGGACUCCACCAUCCUCACAUGCUAAGGUCUAGGAGAGAGUCA